GACAGAGGACAGAACCAGUGGAGGAGGAUGUGGAGAAUAGUCGAAGAUCAGUGCAGGUUGGUGCUGGAGCUAGAUCUUCUGAAAGUCUGGAAUACAACAAGACUAUAGGAAUUCCAUUACCUCCUAGCUCUACAAAGCUAGUGGGUCAAGCAUUCAAAGAGAAUACGAAGGUGAUAUGGUCUUUGUUAAUGGAUGAGGAUGUCUUAAGUAUGGGUAUUUAUGGGAUGGGGGGAGUUGGUAAAUCCACAAUACUGCGACAUAUCCAUAAUGAGCUUCUACAAAAACCAGAUAUUUGUGAUCAUGUUUGGUGGGUGACCGUGUCUCAAGAUUUCAGCAUUAAUAAAUUGCAGAAUCUUAUUGCUGAACGUCUUCAUCUAGACCUUUCAAGAGAAGAUGAUGAACUGCAUAGAGCUGCCAAAUUGUCAGAAGAACUAACGAAGAAACAAAAAUGGAUUCUCAUUUUAGAUGAUUUGUGGAACAAUUUUGAGCUACACGAAGUGGGAAUUCCUGAAAAGUUUGAAGGAUGCAAGCUGAUUAUGACAACUCGAUCAGAAAUGAUUUGUCAUCGGAUGGCUUGCCAGCACAAAAUCAAAGUGAAGCCACUUUCUAAUGGAGAAGCUUGGUUUUUGUUCAUGGAGAAACUUGGACGUUAUGUAGAACUUUCACCAGAAGUGGAAGGAAUUGCGGAAGCUGUUGCAAGGGAAUGUGCUGGUUUGCCAUUGGGAAUUAUUACAGUGGCAGGAAGCUUGAGGGGAGUAGAUGAUCUACAUGAAUGGAGAAAUACAUUGAACAAAUUGAGAGAAUCAGAAUUUAGGGACAUGGAUGAGAAGGUAUUCAAGCUAUUGAGGUUUAGUUAUGAUCGGUUAGGUGAUUUAGCACUACAACAAUGUCUCUUGUACUGUGCAUUAUUUCCUGAAGAUCAUGGGAUUCCGAGGGAGAUGUUGAUAGGUUAUUUGAUCGAUGAGGGGAUAAUUAAAGUAAAGAGGAGCAGGAAAGAUGCAAUUGACGAGGGCCACACGAUGCUUAAUAGACUUGAAAAUGUCUGCCUAUUGGAAAGUGCUAAAAUGUAUUAUGAUGAUAGUAGAAUUGUCAAGAUGCAUGACUUGAUUAGGGACAUGGCCAUCCAAAUACUGCAAGACAACUCUCAAGUCAUGGUUAAAGCAGGUGCACAAUUAAAAGAGUUGCCAGAUGCAGAGGAAUGGACGGAGAAUCUGACGAUAGUCUCACUAAUGCAAAACGAGAUCGAAGAAAUUCCUUCCAGCCAUUCACCAAUGUGUCCAAAUCUGUCCACUCUAUUUCUAUGUGAUAAUAAAGGGUUGAGAUAUGUUGCGGAUUCAUUUUUCAAGCAAUUGCAUGGGCUCAUGGUCCUCGAUCUGUCUCGCACAGGUAUUGAAAAUUUGCCAGACUCUGUCUCUGAUUUGUUGAGUCUCACUGCAUUCUUGCUCAAUGAUUGUCGGGAGUUAAGACUUGUUCCAUCAUUAAAGAAGCUCAGGGCAUUGAAGAGGUUGGAUCUCUCUUGGACUAUGCUUGGAAAGAUGCCGCAAGGAAUGGAAUGCCUAACCAACCUGAGGUAUCUUAGAAUGAAUGGAUGUGGUCAAAAGGAGUUUCCUAGUGGGAUAUUACCAAAACUCUCUCACCUGCAAGUCUUUGAACUAGAACGGUUUCCGGUGCUUCCAAUAACAGUUAAAGGAAAGGAAGUAGGAUCCUUGAGAGUCUUUGAACUAGAACGGUUUACGGCGCUUCCAAUAACAGUUAAAGGAAAGGAAGUAGGAUCCUUGAGAAAUUUGGAAAGUUUGGAAUGCCAUUUUGAAGGUUUCUCUGACUUCGUGGAUUAUCUCAGAUCUCGGGAUGGGAUCCUAUCAUUAAGCACAUACAAAAUUUUAGUAGGAGAGGUGUUUAGCUAUUCAGAGCAAUGCAUUGAAGAUUUUCCAAGUAAAACAGUUGGGUUGGGUAAUUUGAGUAUCAAUGGAGAUAGAGAUUUUCAGGUCAAGUUCUUAAAUGGCAUUCAUGGACUGGUUUGUCAAUGCAUCGAUGCAAGAAGUUUAUGUGAUGUUUUGUCAUUAGAGAAUGCAACUGAACUGGAGCGCAUCAGCAUUCGGGAAUGCCAUAACAUGGAGAGCUUGGUUUCAUCUUCUUGGUUCUGCUCUGCUCCACCACGAUUGCCACCAUAUAAUGGUAUGUUUUCUGGUCUUAAAGUGUUUUUUUGUUAUAGCUGUAAAAGUAUGAAGAAGCUGUUCCCACUUGUGCUGCUGCCAAACCUCGUAAACCUGGAAAGGAUUUAAGUGAAGCACUGGUGGAUUACUCGUGUUGGGAAAACAUUGAUGAUUUUCCAAGUAAAACAGUUGGGUUGGGUAAUUUGAGUAUCAACGGAGAUGGAGAUUUUCAGGUCAAGUUCUUAAAUGGCAUUCAAGGAUUGGUUUGUGAAUUCAUCGAUGCAAGAAGUUUAUGUGAUGUUUUGUCAUUAGAGAAUGCAACUGAACUUGAGUUCAUCGACAUUAGGCGUUGCCAUAACAUGGAGAGCUUGGUUUCAUCUUCUUGGUUCUGCUAUGCUCCACCACGAUUGCCAUCAUAUAAUGGUGCGUUUUCUGGUCUUAAAGUGUUUUGUUGUGAUGGAUGUAACAAUAUGAAGAAGCUGUUCCCACUUGUGCUGCUGCCAAACUUCGUAAACCUGGAAAGGAUUGUUGUUACUGAAUGUGAGAAAAUGGAGGAGAUAAUAGGAACAACAGAUGAAGAAAGCAGCACCUCCAAUUCCAUCACGGAAGUCAUUCUCCCAAAGUUAAGAUCUCUGAGAUUGUAUGAAUUACCAGAACUGAAAAGCAUUUGCAGUGCAAAGCUGACUUGCAAUUCUCUUAAAGAUAUUAUUGUAAUGUAUUGUGAGAAGCUGAAGAGGAUUCCAAUUUGUCUUCCGUUGCUUGAAAAUGGCCAGCCAUCUCCUCCCCCUUCUCUUAAAGAAAUCCAUGCAAGGCCAAAAGAAUGGUGGGAGACAGUAGUGGAGUGGGAGCAUCCUAACGCAAAGGAUGUCCUUCGUCCCUUUGUAAAGUAAUAUAAUAUAGUAUGCUUACAAUUACAUAAAUAACAUUUUUCAUUUUUUUUUAUUUCAUUAAAGACUACUGAAUUGUCAUAAUUUUUUUUUAACUCAAAUGAUAAAUAAUUAUAAUUUGAAGUUUGAUUAAUAUUUGUUUUUCAUCCUAUUGAGUUAUUAAACGAAAUAAGGAUAAUUAAAAUACCAAAGGUGUGCAAGGAUUCCCGACGCUCUACUGUUCGUAGAAUUCCAGUACUUUCUCCAUUAGUCACUCUGCUAUGUUUUAAUUUGCAUUUAAAAUUAAAUUUUAUUCUCUAUUAAAUCAUCUAAUAUUUUCUUCUGUUCUUUUAAUUUGUCCCCAUGUAGAAUCAAUGCUGUGAUGCCAUCACCGCAUUAUUCUUUGGAUGUAAUUAGUCAUUUAUUAUUGGUUAUUUUUUGGAUUCACUUAAAAAAACAAACACAAAAAAUAAUAAGAAUAUUUUUACCUUGGAUUUUUCUUCUUCUAGUUUAUCUCUCUAUUUCUUUAAAAUAAUAAUUAAUAAAAUGACAUUAAUUAAUUUAUAAGCACUACCUUAAUAUGUUUGAAUAUAUUUUUAAAAAUUAUUUAUAUUUAAAAUUGUGUUUGAUAUAUUUUUAAAAAUAAUUUAUCUUGAAAAAAUAUUUUUUAAUAUACUAAUAUUAAAAAUAAAAAAAAUAAUUUCAUUAAUGGAAUCUCCAAGCAACUUAAAUCCAUGCAUUAUGAAGAGGAAAAAAAAGGAAGAGAUAUCUACUACCUUAAUAUGCUAUUCUUUCUCAUAUCCACGUGUUUACAUUUUACAGGCAGCUUCUUCAAAGUUUCAACAUUAGGGGGGUCCACACGUUAACUUCCCAUAUCUUAUAAUAUAAUGUUUGGUAGGUAAGCGGCGGGUUCCUUCUUAGCAACUUCCUUCCUUGCUAUCAAACUUAUGUGAUUUUUCUAAUAUAUAUUUUUUUUGAUUUUUUGAUUUUUUUUAUUUUGUACUUUAAUAUUAGAUUGUUUUGGAAAUAAACUAUAUAAUUUAUUUUUAUUUAUUUUUUAUAGAAUUAUUAUAAUCUUAAAUAAAUAUUUAUUUUAAAUAAGCAUUUAUUUUUAUCAUAUAAUUAAAUAAAAAAUAUUAAAAUCAGUCUAUGUUAACUUUUGAAACUCGUGAUAAUAGCAAAAUUAACCACAUAGAAGGCAAAUUCAAUAAAAAAAACAAAAAUCUGACAUUUUUUCCCUAUUGUUACAUAAUCAGAUUCCAAUCCUAUGACAUAUUAUUGGGUUGGAUAGAUCAACCCAUGCCGACAUAGAUCAAUUUAAUAUAGUGUUGUUUUAAGAAUUUUGAAUUAUUUGAAAAACAAUUUGGCAUGUUUGGGAACCCAUUCUCCUAAAGGAUUGUUUGGCAAAGCGUACACUUGCAUAAAGGGAUGGUUAAGGCUCUCUUGAAAAUUAACAGGUCUCUAAAAAGUAACGAAAUUAGGAUGUCUUUGAUUCGGGCGUGUUUGGGAAUGCCAUGUUUACUUAAACUUUGAAUUUCUUUUUUAUUAUUUUUUUUUAUAUUUUUAGAUCUUUUUUAUGUGCUGAUAUCAAAAAUAAUUAUUUUAAAAUAAAAAAAUAUUAUUUUCCUGCAUUUCUAAGCGAAAAACACUUUGAACCGCAAUCAUUACCACAAUCUCAAACAAGCGGUUUGCGGUUGAAAGUGUUUUUCCCUUACAAAUGCAUCAAAAUAAUAUUUUUUAAAAAAAUUAUUUUUGAUAUCAGCACAUCAAAACGAUUUCAAAACAUAAAAAAAAUUAAUUUUAAGUAAAAAAAAUUUUAAUUUUGAGGGAACACGAUUUGCACGACGUUCCCAAACACGCUCUAAAUUAAAGUCGGAUUUUGCUCCACCGGUCUUCAACUCUGAAUAUUAAAAUUUAUUAUUCACUUGUGUCUUUGAUUUUGCCGAAUCGAGUUAAGCACACAUGACCCGAUCUUUUUUAAUCAAUUUUACAAAAAUCAAAAACUUAAAAAAUAGAAUUAGAAAUAAAAUUCCAAUAGAGUAUCAGUUUUAGCACGAAAACUAUUGUUAAAAUAUUUUUACUGUUAAGAAUUUAUGCAAAACAUUUAGAAAACUAAUUCAGGGAUCAAAUAUUUUUAUGAAAUUGACUACAAACUUAAAAUUCUUGAAUAUACAAUAUAAACUUCUUGAAUCAUAAGAUAAAAACUCAUAUUAAAUUAUAAUUUUAUAAUAAAUAUGAAUUCUUGGAUCACAUAAGCUUGAGACAUGGAUAAUGUUUGGAGCAUUUAAGACUGGACCUCCUUGACUUAAAUUUUAUUUUAUAUUUACAACAAGGGAAAAGGCACCAUGGGGUUGAAACCUUUUUAUGCUCGGCUGCUGGCAUUUGGGACCAGGUUCUGGGGACAAGCCACUUAAUGCCAAAAACUAGCUUGGUAGCCAAUAGUCAGUGUGUUUAGUUAUACUAACCACGUUUUGUAUAUAUUAAUUAGAUAAAUUUAGAAUUAUUUAUGUCAAUAAAUAUAUAAAAAAUGUUAAUGAGUCGAAUUAAUAAAUUUAGAAUGAUCUGUUGCACUAAAUCAAGAAGUUUAUUAGACUUAUUACUCUGUAAAUUUGCUUUCUGAGUGCUGAGCAUAUUGUGAUUGGGGAGAUUUGAUCCUCGUAUAAUUGUUGCUAGCUUAUUUGUGAGCCAUUUUUUUUCCCUUUCAGACAUGAACAGCACCUGGAGUUCUUGGGGCCAAAAUUAGAUUUUUGGCUAGAAAGAGUCUGUUUGAUCUCUUAAAUGGUACGAGCCACCAACCCUGAUGACUUGUGAGCUUCAAAUACGAACCAGGGUUAUUAUUCUAUCUUCUUCUUUUUUAAUCAUUAAUUAUGGUACAAUCCAAUUUUAUUUUAAUUUUUUUAUUGUUAUUUUAUAGUUUUUUUUUAUUUACUUGAUUUUUCAAUUAUGUCUCUUGUUUUUUUAUUUUAUUUAAUUUAAUCCUCAUUUUUUGAUUGAUUUUUUGAUUUAAUCCCUCAUUAUUUUUUUUCAUUUAGUUUUUAUACUAGAUUUGAUCUUUAAUAUUUUGAUUGCUAUUUGAUUUAUUUUUUUUUUAAAAAAAUUAGAUGAUUAGAAAUUUAGCUUCAUAAUUUUUUUUUGUUUGUCUUCUAUGAGGCGAUCUUGGUCUCAUAACCCGAGUCACGAGUUUCAAAGAUUAGUUUGAUUUACCUUUAGUUUUUUUAGGUCAUUAAAAAAAAAGAUUUUUUUUCAAUAUCCUUCAAUGUUGGGUUAUUGGGCCUUGAGUUUCAUGAUUUUCUUUGCUUUUCUUUUUAUAAGGUUAUUCCGGUAUCAUAUCCUAGGUCACGAGCUAGUCAAGUUAACCUACAUUGACACUUGUUUUUUUUUUUUUCUAGUUUUACCUUUUAUCAUUUAGUUUGCUUGAGAGUUAAACUCCAUUGUUUUAUUCGAUUCUUAUAUGCAGGCUUAUCCCGAUCAUGAUUUGGUGUCCUAACUCGAGUCGUGUUUUUUAUUCUUUUUUGAAAUUGAUGUUUUUUUCCGGUUUAUUUUUCAACCUUUGUUUUGCUGGUAAUUGAGCGUCAUAUUUCUUUUAUUUUUCUUUUCAUGAGGUAAUCUUAUUUUCAUUGAAUUUUUAUGUUGUAAUAAAAUAAGAUAGUUAAGAUCUUUUUAAAAAAAAUUAGAUGGUAUCUUUUAUAAUAUUAACAAGCGUUUAUUUUUUCUAAUUAAUCAUUGUUGUUUUUUAUCAUUUGUUUAUAUAUAUAUAUAUAUAUUAAUCAAAUUUAUUAAAUCCAUUCGAAUCAAUAACCUAAAUUUCAAAUUUUUAUUGUUGCUUUUAAAAAGCUAUUAUUAUUAGGAUAUCUUUUUAUAUUAAAAAAAUAAUAAUUCAAAAAACAGUGUAGCACUACAUAGGCACCCACCACUUUAGCAAAUUGGAUAUCCCACUUGCUUCAUUGGUUUGGAUAAGGGCUAGCUUCGUACAAGCCCCCAACUUAUAACCAAUUCAUGAUUGGGUCCUUAUUGUUUUCUUUAGUGACGUCUUUAAUGCAUAAAACAUUCUUAGUUUUGCCUUGUAUUCAAAUCCGUCGAUGAUUUCUAUUUAAAAGCUGUUUUUGUUUUUUUUUUUUUAAAAAGAAAAAAGAAAAGAGAGAACUGGACAUCUUUUAAAAGUUUGUAACAAUCUUACAUGAAAGGACUAAAUUGAGGAUUGUCAUAGAAUGAUGUAUUUAUUAAUUUAAGAGCUUUACCCACUAGUUGAGGAUGACACAAAUUGCCACUGAUGUAUCCCACGGCAUAUGUACCAAUGCAAUGCCUAUGAAAACACGACUUGCUUACACAAGCAACAAACACCACAUAAAUUUCUCUCUGGCCAUUUAAUAUUCUUGGACUUUUGGCUAAAGAAAAAACAAACAAAAACACGUAAAUUUCUCUCUUGGCCACUCGAUUCUUGGACUUUUGGCUUAUUCAUCAACACCAGUUCAAUGGUCCCAUUAAUUCAAUAACCACUGAAAUUUCUAAGGAAUGCUCAAUAUUCUCUCUCUAUAAUCUCAUCCAAAGCCUUCGUGAAAGACACAACGGGGAGACUUUAAUCAUCAAAAAGCUAAGUCUACGUAUAAUUUUCCACUGCAAUAUAAACCAGCAACUUAUUGGACAUUUCUUGAUUCCUUGCAGUCAAUCUGGGAAGCCUUUCGGCUCUCUUUUACACGUUAAAAUUUAGUGGGAGGAUCUCGUAGAGACUGGAAAUGUCUUGGCACGGAUUUGGACUAACACGAAUCACUAGCACAUGUACAUUUCAUGGCCUAGCUAAAACUUGUCAUCAAAGUCACUAUUAUCUCGAGAAGUAGUAGAAUUUCCUAGGCUUCACGCUGCUACCUUUUGAUUUGGUAAAAUUUUGUUCAAUUUAAUUCAUUAAAAAUAAUUGAAACUUCCAAGAUCUUUCCUUGUUAUUUUUAAACUAUAUAUUCUACUCUGUUCUUGUCUUUUUUGCUGAAUACUGCUUAAGCAAACCAGCACUAGAAGAACAACUUGAAUCCAGGUAGAUUAUUUAUACUCCAUCUUCUUCAUUUUGUUUUUCACAUGUAACUCUGGUUUGAAUCUUUCAAGGAAGUCACAAGUUGUAGAAAUUCUAAUGAGAAACUUUGGAGUUAGGAUCAUCAACAGUUUCCAAAAAUAAAAAUAAUUUGAUCUUUCUCAGUUUUAACAAUCCAUGCCUUAUGGAGUUCAUACUAAUUAAAUUGACCCUAAGUUAACCUUGAAUUCAUUGUUUUUUCUUCUUAAUUUCUUUGCUGUUUGUAACUUAUUAUUUUAGUUUCACCAUCCUUUUCCAAUUAAUGUACUUCCAUUAAUUUUUAUUCAAUAUUUUGACCCUUUUUAUCUAUAGGACAAAUUAAAUGGGUAGAUCAGAUGAUCCGUUUUGGAAGGAAGUUGAAGAUAUGAAUGAUGGAAGCAUGAAGUGUAAGUUUUGUGGGCAUUUAUUUGCCAAUGGUACUUCCAUUUCGAGGAUCAAAUGGCAUUUAUCAGGAGAGAGAGGGCAUGGUGUUGGCAUUUGUGGUCAGGUGCCUAAAGAAGUUCAAGAAGUAGCCUUUCUAGCUAUGCAUGUUGGCAACAAAAGACAUAAAAGCAUAGCAAGUUCAAGCAAUGUUAAUGAUUAUGCCAUUUCCACCUGUCCACAAGAACAAGACAAUGCAGUACUUGGUAAUUUGGCACAAGGUGUUGGGCCUGAGAGAAUUCAUUCGCGUGUAGAAGCGGCAAAUGGCAUGGAAUACACUGGUGAAGGAUCUUUUCAGCAUGUUGACAGAAGUGUCUCUCCUUGGGGACUCAGAGUUGAUGCUCAUGAGAAUAGAAGAGAAGCAACACAAAGAACAGAUUUAGUGGAUCAAUUUGCUGAUGGUACUUGGGUUCAGAUACACUCUGCCCUUUCAAAGGCGCAGAAGCUGAAUGAAAUCUCUACCUAUUUAAUGCAGGAAGAUGAGGAUGUGGAGCGUCUGCAUGAUGCAUUUGAAACUGUACCGAGAACAGAACAAGUGCAGCAUCUGGAGAGAGGUAGCUCUUGUGAGAGGCCAUCAAUUAAUCAAGCUGAUGAGCCUCGAGGAGAUUCAUCACAACCAACAGAUUCAUUGUGUCUUGAUCAUGGCAGAUAUUAUGAUCAACUAUUUACUCCGUCAAUAAACAAUGAUGUCAUUAUGAAUGAUGUGCAGAACAUGGUUAGAGUGAGGACAGAACCAUUGGAGGAGGAGGAUGUGGAGAAUAGUGGAAGUUCAGUAGUGCAGGCUGGCGCGGGAGCUAGAUCUUCUGAAAGUCUGAAAUACAACAAGACUAGAGGAGUUCCAUUACCUACUAUCUCUACAAAGCCAGUGGGUCAAGCAUUUGAAGAGAAUAUGAAGGUGAUAUGGUCUUUGUUAAUGGGUGAUAAAGUCCCAAUCAUUGGCAUUUAUGGGACGGGGGGAGUUGGUAAAACGACAAUACUGCAACAUAUCCAUAAUGAGCUUCUACAAAAAUCAAAUAUUUGUAAUCAUGUUUUGUGGGUGACUGUGUCUCAAGAUUUCAACAUUAAUAGAUUGCAGAAUCUUAUUGCUAAACGUCUCUAUUUAGAUCUUUCAAGUGAAGAUGAUGAUCUGCAUAGAGCUGCCAAAUUGUCAGAAGAACUAAAGAAGAAAUAAAAAUGGAUUCUCAUUUUAGAUGAUUUGUGGAACAAUUUUGAGCUACACAAAGUGGGAAUUCCUAUGGUGUUGAAAGGAUGCAAGCUGAUUUUGACAACUCGAUCAGAAACAAUUUGUCAUCGGAUUGCUUGCCAACACAAAAUCAAAGUGAAGCCACUUUCUGAGGGUGAAGCUUGGAAUUUGUUCGUGGAGAAACUUGGACGUGACAUAGCACUUUCACCAGAAGUAGAAGGAAUUGCGAAAGCUGUUGCAAGGGAAUGUGCUGGUUUACCAUUGGGAAUUAUUGUUGUGGCAGGAAGCUUGAGGGGAGUGGAUGACCUAUAUGAGUGGAGAAAUACACUGAACAAAUUGAGAGAAUCAGAAUUUAGGGACAAUGAAGUAUUCAAGUUAUUAAGGUUUAGUUAUGAUAGGUUAGGUGAUUUAGCACAACAACAAAUGUCUCUUGUACUGUGCAUUAUUUGCCGAAGAUAGUGAGAUUGAAAGGGAGGAGUUGAUAGGUUAUUUGAUCGACGAGGGAAUUAUUAAAGGAAUAAGGAGCAGGAAAGAUGCAUUUGACGAGGGCCAGACGAUGCUUAAUAGACUUGAAAAUGUCUGCCUGAUGGAAAGUGUUAAAAUGGAGUAUGAUGGUAGUAGAAGUGUCAAGAUGCAUGACUUGAUUAGGAACAUGGCCAUCCAUAUACUGCAAGAGAACCUUCAAUACAUGGUUAAAGCAGGUGCACAAUUAAAAGAGUUGCCAGAUGUGUUGGGGAAUUCCGGCACCCCCAUGCGCGGACCGGGGGUGUACUGAUAGUUGCUCAUCGGAGGGUAAAGCACACUGACACAAUAUUUUACGUGGUUCGGCAAAACCGCCUACAUCCACGGGAGAGGUUCAUUUUAUUAGAUAUAGAGAUACAUGGAAGAAGAUUACAUCUGCUGCAAUGGCAGCAAGGCUGCUGCCAUUGCAGCUCUCUCUUUUCUCUCUAUUCUCACGUUCUCUCUCUCAACCUUCUCUUCACUCUCACUUUGCUCUCAAAUAAUUGCCUCUUUUAUAGGCAUUUCAUGGUCAACAUUGGAGGGGCCAAUAGCCUUAAAGCAUGGCAUGAAUUGUGGCACAAUUCAUGCUUCCACUUGCUUAGUGGUGGGGUAUUGCCACAAAUGGCAAUAUCCUAACAAUCACCCCCUUUUGCCAUUUGUGUGGGCAAUUGUCCUUUUGCUUCUUCAGCACAAGCUUGCAUUCUGCAGCUCUUCCAAGCUUCCAUUCUGAGAGCGUCUUCAACACAACAUUCCUCUUCGAGCGUAUCAAUCAUGCUCGGUCCGGAAUGAUUUUUCAAGCCUUACACCAAGGCUUACAACACCCCCUCAAACGAAUAUUCCCAAGUGCGACGGUCAUUGAGUAUUUUAAUGUGAUCACAAGCUCACCACUCUUCCAAGAGUCUACUCAUCCAGGAGUUGCGUCUGCCCUCUGUUCCACCCUAGGAACCACGCCUUACUUCUCCGUGAGUCUCUCGCUCUUAGUCGUAAGAGUCCAGGUAGCUCUCCACCUUUAACCAUGGGGGCAGCCCAUUAAAGGUUGAUCCAUAUCUGUCUUCAUACUCUGAGUAUUACAAUGCCAUUACCGAGCUCACCACCUUGACAAAAGUCAACUCGUUCUCGGAACCUGCGCAUGCCCUUCUGCUUCUUCAUAGCAGCCGCGUCUUAAUGCUCCACAAGUCACACACUUAUUGUCCAAGGCAAAUGUCUUCUAGCUCAUUGAUCUUUAGCAUGGGGGCAAUAUCCAUGAAAGUCAAUCCUGCAUUUGUCUCCAUACUCAUCAUAGCCACUUCAUUGGCUAUCCAUACACCUGUCCACUCAUAUCUAGCCAUUACAUUGGCUUUGGGGUUGUUCUGAACUGGGCUCAUAUCGUGGCCCACACACCUUCUCCUUAGGUGUCUCCGCUCGUCACCAUGCGGCGGUCUGAACUGGGGCUUCUAUCACGGCCCUCACACUUUCUCUAAGGUGUCUUCGCCCGUUGUCAUGGGGCGGUCUGAUCUUGGGCUCAUAUCACGGCCCACACACCUUCUCUAAGGUGUCUUCGCCCGUUGUCAUGGGGCGGUCUGAUCCGGGGCUCCUAGCACGACCCACAUACACACCUUCCAUCUAAGGUGUCUUCACCUUUCAUAAGUGGUCGCAUCCUCCUUCAGCUGAGAUGCUUCAAAGUGGCUCCAAAAGUCUCUACCACCAUGUGCACUAUGGGAGAUCAUUGCCACUGAUUACAUAGAAAGAGAAACUUGCAGUAUACUCCUCGCAAUCCUCCACCUCGAUUUCUAUGUUUGGAGCUUCUGUGCCUUUCUGCUUGACAGCUCCACCUACACCAACUCUCUUUGGUGUCUUCGCCUUUCAUCAUAGGCGGUUGCCUUGUAUCACAGGCAUUUGCACCCCCUCAAUUAGGUGCCUCUGCAACAGCUCUCUUUCCAUCAUUGCAUGCAUUGGAAAGGUCUUCGCCUGUUGUCUUCAUUAAGAGCACAAGAGACUUCCUGUUGUACAAACUUUAACAGUCUCUGCUCUGAGCUUCAUCUGGGAACUCUUCUUCUCCUUGCACCUGUUGUCUCAUUACAGUACCUAGUUGGAUCUUAAGGGUACUCAUGCACAAUCUCCAUGUGCCCUCGUGCAAUUUCUGUUCUCCAGAUUUUUCCCCUAUUCCUUGCUUAUGUUUGACAGCAGCUCAUCCUGUCAGAACACCUAUCCAAGUCAAAAUAGGGUGCCAAUCUUUAUCCCUUGCCAUAUUUCUCUACCAUUAUCAGGGUCUUCAUCAAUUCUCCCCUCGAGAAAUCACAGUCACCGAAUCUAACUUCUUUGGAGAAAUCACCACUUCAUCAGAUCCUUGAUCAUACGGAACCCAACUGUUCCCUUGUGCCGUCAUCCUGCUAGUCUUCAACUGUUUCAUUACAAACUGCUAUAUAUACGAAAAUAGUACCGUAUGGAUAAUCCUUCCACUAAGCAAGUUCCUAGGAAAGAUUGGAGGGGUCACACUGGUCCCGCUUAAAACCCAAUCUCCUAGACAGAACUUCAUAGGCCAUAUCUAUCCAUCGUACUGUCUUUCCGUAUAUACAACCAUUUGCUAGCUUUGUCCCGGCCUUCCUUUACAAGUGAUCUGGAAUAUACUGGUUUAAUACAUGAUUUCUCAACAUCUGGCGAGACUACCAGUUCUUAGAUUCGUCAAGAUUGGUCUUCGUCAAUUUCCACUCUUCACCUCAAAUUGUCCACAUGAUCGGGUGUCCAGAGUGUCCCAAUUUUGCCUUCCUUCAAGGCAGCUAAAAUUCUACCCACUUAGCAGUUCGACACAUGUAAUUGGGUAAACAUGUGCACCUUCUUCUUCUUCAUCGCCAUCGACCACGUUGAUGACCUUCAGAUGCCUCCUAAUCGGGCAAUCUCUUUUCGCUAAUUCACCACUGCCAUUUUCGGUCUCAAAUUUCAACGAUCGGACCAUACCAGUGCAUCCGGAACGAUCAAAUUAGCUGAANNNNNNNNNNNNNNNNNNNNNNNNNNNNNNNNNNNNNNNNNNNNNNNNNNNNNNNNNNNNNNNNNNNNNNNNNNNNNNNNNNNNNNNNNNNNNNNNNNNNNNNNNNNNNNNNNNNNNNNNNNNNNNNNNNNNNNNNNNNNNNNNNNNNNNNNNNNNNNNNNNNNNNNNNNNNNNNNNNNNNNNNNNNNNNNNNNNNNNNNNNNNNNNNNNNNNNNNNNNNNNNNNNNNNNNNNNNNNNNNNNNNNNNNNNNNNNNNNNNNNNNNNNNNNNNNNNNNNNNNNNNNNNNNNNNNNNNNNNNNNNNNNNNNNNNNNNNNNNNNNCUGACUGUGUAUACUGACGUCAUGAUUACGUCAUGAUGACGUCAUCCAUUAUCCGGGUCUGGCAUGUGAGGUCGGGUCGUCUGGUAUUCGGGUCGGGUCAGCCCAUCCCGGGCGAAGAAGACGCGUGUGACGCGUGGCGCGCGUCUGUGCGCGUGGGCAGUAACCUCGCCGGCGCGUGGGCAGUUUCCGACGUCCGAUUUCGACGCGGUUUUCAACAGUGGCUUCGUCUCUUCCUCCUCUACACAGUGGUAUGGUCAAAACACAAUUUGGACAACUUUCAUUUUGAGCAAAAUCAAACACCCCUUUAAACCAUGUGCUCUGAUACCAAUUGUUGGGGAAUUCCGGCACCCCCAUGCGCGGACCGGGGGUGUACUGAUAGUUGCUCAUCGGAGGGUAAAGCACACUGACACAAUAUUUUACGUGGUUCGGCAAAACCGCCUACAUCCACGGGAGAGGUUCAUUUUAUUAGAUAUAGAGAUACAUGGAAGAAGAUUACAUCUGCUGCCAUUGCAGCUCUCUCUUUUCUCUCUAUUCUCACGUUCUCUCUCUCAACCUUCUCUUCACUCUCACUUUGCUCUCAAAUAAUUGCCUCUUUUAUAGGCAUUUCAUGGUCAACAUUGGAGGGGCCAAUAGCCUUAAAGCAUGGCAUGAAUUGUGGCACAAUUCAUGCUUCCACUUGCUUAGUGGUGGGGUAUUGCCACAAAUGGCAAUAUCCUAACAAGAUGCAGAGGAGUGGAUGGAGAAUCUGACGAUAGUUUCACUAAUGCAAAACGAGAUCAAAGAAAUUCCUUCCAGCCAUUCACCAAUGUGUCCAAAUUUGUCAUCUCUAUUUCUACGUGAUAAUGAAGGGUUGCGAUCUAUUGCGGAUUCAUUUUUCAAGCAAUUGCAUGGGCUCAAGGUCCUCGAUCUAUCUUGCACAGGUAUUAAAAAUUUGCCAGAGUCUGUUUCUGAUUUGAUGAGUCUCACUGCAUUAUUGCUCAAUGGUUAAUUUCGCAAGUGCACGCAUCGUAACAAGUAAUAAAGUGAUGAGUAGAGUAUCGUCCCACGAGGAUUUGUAAAAAUUACUACUAAUUACCAAAGUCUUUUAAAUUAUGAUCUAUUUGAGGAAUCAAAUGAGAUAGUUUAUGAAAUAGAAAUAAAUGAUAAAAAAACAAACAAACAAAUGAUUAAAUAUUAAUGAAUUCAAUUGUACUGGUUCUAGGAUUUAUGACUUACCGUAACUAUACCUAUUUGAACUUUCUCGAUUAAAUUAAUUACUUCUAAUGUUGAUAAUCAGGUUUUUCUAAUGUAAAUAUUAAUCUCUCUCGAGCAUCAAUAAAUUAUUUCGACAAACAAAUUUCAUAUACUCUACGAAAGUUCUGAACUUGUCAAAAUUAAUUAAAUACUGUAAAACCUGUAACGAUUACAAAAGUUCCUAGGAUAUCUCUAUCCUAUAGAUUUCUUAAGGUAUUUCAAACAAUAGCUAAAACAAUUAUCACUUCUCAGUUUCAAAUUGAAUUCUAAAUCAUGCAGAUGUUGGCCAAACACACGCAAGCAUUACACAUAGAAUGAAAUACUCAAUAUCUUAAUGUAAUAAUUCAAUCGAAGAAAUUGUUCACAUAUUCAUAGUAAGGUUACAUCAAAAAUCCCAGAAUAAAAGUCUACUCCAUAGUUAAAUUAAAGAGAAACAAACUUGAUACGAUGAACAUCACUCAAAAGCAGAGAAUUUCAGUGGAAGAGAUAGGUGUCCUCCUGGUCUUCAAUAUUUUUGCCUCUGUUCUUUUUGUUCCUGUUUGGUGCCGCCUCCUCUGUUUUUCUUUGCUAUGUUAUAGGGUUUCUCCCUGUCUCCCCUCUGUUUUUCUUCUUUUAUAUUGUGGAUGUUCUACCCCUGCAGUAAUGAGGAAAGUUUCCUUUUCUGCAUUGAAUUCCUUCCUACCCAGACAUUGCGGGCCAGAUUUGAGGUAGGAAAAGUGCGAAUUCAAAGAUCUCUAUUUCUGGAGAAAUUGUAGAGAAUCAAAUUUUAUUUCCAAAGACACUGAUCUUGCAAUUUUUGGACCUCUGAACGUUGAGAUAAGGGCCAUAAACCGAAACAGUCUUUGCAGUGCAGGAAUUUCGGGUUGGUUCAAUCCUUGUUUUUCAACUCGCUUUUUGGGCUUCGAAACAACAAAACUGAGUUAUAUGCCCUUCAUAUGUUUUGUAGGCCUUCAUCUCAGCUAUUUGAAAAUGGUGACAAACAUCUGGAACUAAAUUGUAUAGCUUCUUUUGCAGCACAUAAUGAAUCACUGUUCAGUUUCACUGCCGGGCUCUGCCUGUUCAGUAACCUAAUAUCUGAAAACACAUUAAUUUUUCACGAGGUCAAUAGUUCAAAAAGAGAUUCAACAUUCUAAUUUUCUUGUGCAACAUAUCCAAAAUAUUUAAAAAUCAAGCAUGAAUAGUGGAAAAUAUACAUGCUAAAAAUUCUCUUAUCAAAGAGGUUGGAUCUCUCUUGGACCAUGCUUGAAAAGAUGCCGCAAGGAAUGGAAUGUCUAUCCAACUUGAGGUAUCUUAAAAUGAAUGGAUGUGGUGAAAAGGAGUUUCCUAGUGAGAUAUUACCAAAACUCUCUCACUUGCAAGUCUUUGUACUAGAAGAGGUUUUUGAGGAAUGUUAUGCUCGGAUAACAAUUAAAGGAAAGGAAGUAGUAUCCUUGAGAAAUUUGGAAACUUUGGAAUGCCAUUUCGAAGGUCUCUUGGACUUCAUGGAGUUUCUCAGAUCUCGGGAUGGGAUCCAAUCAUUAAGCACAUACAGAAUUUCAGUGGGAAUUCUGAAAUUCUUAUAUGGCGUUGAAAAGUUUCCAAGUAAAACAGUUGCAUUGGGUAAUUUGAGUAUCAACAAAGAUAGAGAUUUUCAGGUCAAGUUCUUAAAUGGCAUUCAAGGACUGGUUUGUCAAUUCAUCGAUGCAAGAAGUUUAUGUGAUGUUUUGUCAUUAGAGAAUGCAACUGAACUGGAGGACAUCAGCAUUUCAAAUUGCAAUAGCAUGGAGAGCUUGGUUUCAUCUUCUUGGUUUUGCUCUGCUCCACCACCAUUGCCACCAUAUAAUGGUAUGUUUUCUGGUCUUAAAAAGUUUUAUUGUGGUGGAUGUAACAGUAUGAAGAUGUUGUUCCCACUUGUGUUGCUGCCAAACCUAGUAAACCUGGAAAGGAUUGAAGUGAUGCUCUGUGAGAAAAUGGAGGAGAUAAUAGGAACGACAGAUGUGUUGGGACAUUCAAGCAAUUAAACACACACAAUUUACGUGGUUCGGCAACUUGCCUACUCCACGGAGCUACUGGUUUGUAUUAAUCAAGCUUAGAAACAAUACAAACAACAAAACAAGGAGGAGGAGAAAAAAUUCUUCUCUACUCAACUCAACUCUCUCUAGCUCUCUCUCUCUCUGUGUUUCUCUCUAUUUCGUGUCUCGCCCAGCUCUCAAUAGCAUCCUCUAUUUAUAGCUGAUAUGGGAGACAAUCCUCUCCAUUUUAGUCAAUUAUAGCAGCCACUUUUGCCACCAUAUUUAAUGUUUCGGUAAACACUCUUGCAGCCAUGUUUGACAUGGCUGCCAACAACCAUUUUGUGUCCAUACAUAACAAUCUCCCACCUGGACACAAAUGGCACUAUAUCUAUCUUUUAAUCUUUGAGACCAACUGAAGCUUUACACAACUUCAGUUUAUCAAGAGUAACUCCUUUGGUUAACAAGUCAGCUGGAUCCUUGCUUCCACAUACCUUUUCUAGCAUUAGUUGCUCGUCGUCUAGCAAUUAUCGGAUGAAGUGAUAUUUGAUCUGAAUAUGCUUAGUCGUGCAGUGAAAUGCUGGAUUCUUGACAAGGAAGAUUGCACUCUGACUGUCGCUAUACAGAGUACCUUUUCCAAUAAGGAUGUCCUUGGUCCCUUUGUAAAGUUUUGGUAGGAGGAGACUACUCUUCCCUUAAUAUAAUAUAAUAUAGAAUAAAGCAUCAUCUUUCUCAAUCUCUGUUUCAACAAUUGAUUCUCUUAACUUCUUUAUGUUAAUUAACAUCUGAUUUAUUGGACUCGUUAAGCGUUUAUUAAUAGGAAAUAUUUCUUUUUUAUAUAGCGUGCUUACAAUUACAUAAAUAACAUUUUUCAUUUUUUUUAUUUGUUUCAUUGUCUUUUAAGUUAUUGAAUUGUCAUAUAUUUUUUUUUUAAUUCGAUAGAUAAAUAAUUAUAACUUGAAGUUUGAUAAAUAAUUAUAUUUUCAUCCUAUUGAGUUUCUCCAAGAUAAAAAUCCAAAAAAUAAAAUACUAUAUUGAUUUAUCAAUAAAGUAGCCUAAUAAAAUAAUAUAUCUAUUCACUAGUAUAAGUCAUCUAAAAUCAAUACAAAAAAAUAUAUUGAAAUAAUAUUUUUUAUUUAUUAAAUUUAUUUUUAACAUCAUUACAUUAAAAUAAUUCAAAAACAUAAAAAAAAAUUAAUUAAUUUUUUUUCCGAAAUGGUAAUGGGCAUUUUUCCAAUCUGGUGGGGGUGAUGUUGGUGUGCUUGGUGUUCCCUCAAAUAGCUUUCCAAAGUUUUGACAUUACAGUUAAUUGCUCCAAUUCUUUUGCACAUUACCUAUCAUCUUUUAGAUGAAAGCUAACACUCUUUUUUUGCAAUAGGAGACCUGCUGGGCAUCAGACCGUGCACCCACACUUUGUUUUUUUUUGCUGUUCUUCAUAGAGUUCCAUUGUCGGUCCUGAUUUGCCAGGAUCAGUCUCCUUCACUAGCCACAUGCACAUCCUUGCUUUUUAUUUCAUAUGGCUCAACCAUUAUUUGCAGUCAGGAUGUUUAAUCUUAGGCCCUUUACGAAUUGUUCUGGCAGCGUGCUAAUAGCCUACUCCGUAUGGUUGCUCAGUUCGAUCUCAAUGAUAGAGGUGUAUAAAAAGAAGAAAAAAGUGAAAAACAACUUAUGCCUUGUUUGUUUGCAGGAAAACAAAUUCUUGGAAUUCAUUUUCCUUAUUUUUCCAUGUUUGGUAAUAAUAUGAAAAACUAGUCAAAGAAAAAUUAAUUACAGUUAAAAUAAAAAAAGUAACUUUAUCAAAGGAAAGUGUUUUCCUUCUAAUAAGGAAAGGAAAACACUUUCCUUUCUUUCAUUACACCCAUUUUCUCAAAUCACGAUCUCUCUCUCUUUUCAAAAACAAUUGGAAGCAGGAACAAUUGAAGCAUUUCUCUGGAACAAUUGAUUUCAGGUAUUUUUUUCCUCUAUUAUUUCCUUUAUAUUUUUAUCUUCUUCGUUUAGAUCUGUAAAAAUUAUGGCAUAAAUCCUUUGAUAUUCUUGAUAAAUAUGCUACCUGUCAUAUUUUUUCCAUAACAUAGUUUUCUUCUUCAUCUUACCUCGUCACAUUCAGCUUUUCCAUGACAAUUUUCUUCUUCAUCACUCACAUUUGGCAGCUCACAUUUCUAACCAAACAAACCAAAUCAAGUGCACAGAGAGAGGCAAGGGGGGGGGGGGUAAGAUUACUGUGAAUUAAUCAAAGAAAAAUCCCCAAACUUCCCCAGUAAAAAGCAGCCCCUCCCUGAUACCUCGUCCUCGGAUCUAGCCAUCAUAUCCCGGGUGGAAGCACAAAGAGAGAGAGAGGCAAAGUAAAAGGGGGGGAAUCAGUGAAUGUGUUGAAAAUCAACCCUUGCUCUUUUUUUUUUCAAGUCCCAGCGUUAUUAGAACAAGUAGCCGGGGGAGAGAGGGAGGAGAACUGGGAAGGAGGAGUAGGUCUUUGAGGUCUAGCCCUCUUGCCCCUUGAAUCUUUGAUCUUUGUCCUGCUUCUUUGUGCACAGAGAGAGGAAGUUAAGGAAUUCUUGGCGAGAGAGAACAAAUGGUGAGAGACACCGAGAGCGAACAUGGGCAUGAGAAAAACCGAGAAACCGAGAGGGAGAAGGAAUAGGGGAAGGGGAAUGAGAGAAACCGAAAGGGAACAAGGGAAUGGGGGAAUGGGAACAGGGGGAAUGGGAGAGGGGAACCGAGAGGAAGUUUAAUAAGGGGAAUUAUAACAGAACCUAAUAAACAUAAAUUUGUGUUUUAUUUUGCUUUGAUUAAUUUAUGAUUAGUGUUUGAUUAUAUUUGUUACAUAUGGAUAAAUUUGUGGAACUAUGCUGGUAAUUAUAUGGAUUUCAUUGCGCAAUGUCUAUUGAUUGUUGUGAACUUAUGAAUUGUAUAAUUUUCAAAACGGUUUUAUCAUCGAGAAAUUGAAUUUUAUGAUCUUAAAUAGUAUAUUUUAAGAUCUUGUUUGUUUAGGGAAUCAGAUAUCAUUGCCAUAACUAUUAUACAUUGUCAGCUUCUUUCAGCAUAAUUGAUUGUAUUGAUUGUGGAAAUAUUUUAUAUGCUUUUUUUAAUAUUUAUUUCCCCAAAUUUUUAGGUUUAGCAUUUGCAAUUCAAAGCCUCAACAAAAAUCAACUUGAUGUUAAUGCGCUGUAUACAGAAGUGAUGAAAAUUGAAGGCUUUGAUGAGAUCACUCUUGGGGAUGCAUUUAAUCACUUGGUCCAAAAUGAAAUGUUGGCAAAAGCAUUUAUAGUAAAAAUGCUAAUUUGAGGAAAAAUUGGGUUCAGAAUUUUGUUAACCAACACUACUACAGGCCUGCUUGCUAAGAUGGUUUGAUUAUGUUCAAAAUUUGGGUUCAGACUAUGUUUGUUUUUUGACAAGUAUGUUUACUUGUUUAAUUCGGUCUAACAUGUUUAUGUUUGUUAAUUUUAACUAAUAUGUUUGUAUAUGACAUCGAAACUUAAUAUUUAUGCAUGACUAUGUUUGAUGUUAGAUAUUUAUAUUUAUUUCUUGAUUCUUAUUUGAUAUAUAUUAAAGGGAUAUUAAAGGGAUAAUUGCCUUUACCCAUAAAAAAAAAUUAAUCUUUAUCCAAAAAACCCAUCAAAAUAUUUUUGUAUCUAUUUAUCUUUUAAAAAAUUCUUCAUACAAAAAAAAAAAACCCAAAUAUCUAACUUUUACCAUAAACUAAUUUGGCUUUCUUCAUAUGAAAAAAAACUUAUUUUAAGCUUUUAAAAUUGAAAAAAAUAUAUUUAAUAUGUUUUACUUAAGAAAUAUUUCAUAAGGUUAUUUCUCUAUAAUAUGAUAUGAUAUAUAUAAUUAUAUUUUAUAAAAUAAGCUAUAUAUGAAUAUAGGAUAUAAUAAAAAAAUUCAUCAUUAUACUUUUUAGAUUUCAUUCUUUUAUUGUAAGUGAUUAAAUAUUUAUAUUAAAUAUUUUAUAUAUAUUAGAUAAACUUAAAAAAAAUUAAUUCAUUAAUAAAUUAUUUUCCAGUUCAUUUUGUAUAACAUAACCAAACACUAGAAAGUGUUUUCCAGUUCAUUUUUCAAAAUACUACCAAACAUCGGAAAAUAAUUCACUUUCCAGAAAUUCACUUUCUAAGAAAACCACUUUCCAAAAGGAAACCACUUUCCAGCAAACAAACGGAGCCUUAUAGGGAAUUCGAACAACAACGGCACUCCUAUAUUAUAAAAAAAAGAAAAAAAGUGAAAAAUAACUUGCUAUUAUCUUAAAAUACUGCAGGUUUUAUUAUUUGUUUCUUGUUCGGUUAGAAGAAUAACCAGGGUGGAAUUCAGCUGAUAAGAAUUGGUUCCUUCACCAUUUUCCUGUUACUCUAUAUCAUCAGUGGAUUGGACAGGAGGAGUUCUGUAGUAAGCUGUCAUGGUUACCAGGAAGAAUGUUGCUCUAAUUCCUUCUGCCUUUAGUAUAGGGAAGAUGAUGCCUGAUCCAACCUGAAAAUUGACAAAAAUAAAAAUUUAAGUUUGUCUAGGAAACUCAUGGUGAGAAUAACAGUUCAAACAAAAAAGCUUCUGAUAGUAAGAGUAAAGAAAGCUGGAGAUACAGACCAAAAUUAGUCUAGCCGCAAUACACAUGCGUUUUGGUGUAGGAAAUGGAAGCAAUAAGCGGCCAACAGCAUACGCAAGCAUGGCAAAGCAGUGGAAAACCAAUCUCAAUGGGUCAGGGUUUAGACCAGACAGAAGAGCCAUCAGUCCAUCUGAGAACACGCCUCCAAGGCUCAAAUAAUUGAAGAAUGCUUCUUUCAUCUCCUUCCUUGAUAGAUCCUGAUCCGAUGAAGAGAAUUCUGUGUGUAGGCAAAUGUGUUUCUUGCAAAUGCCGCUGGCUGCAACCAAUAAUAAGUUAAUAGUAUCUACCAACCGCAUAGAAAUAUGGUUAUGUUGUGUUUCACUCCGAGGAAGACUGGCCGAAGAAAUAUUAGCUAAGCAUAUUCAUGCAAGUGCCGAUACCAUACGCAGAAUGCAAAAGGAUUCAAGAUAUUUGCAAAUGGCAGCUCCAUCACUAAGAUCAUUCAGAAGCCUAAGAAGAUCUCGCAGUAGAACAACAUCAGAAAGUCCCAUAUAUAGUCAUUCCUCCUCCAGUUACAGCAUGGCGCAUAUUCAACGAAUCCCCUAUCAUAAACGCACCAGGGGUUGGAUAGGGAGACGCAGGCAUGAUUCUGUUUGGCAUUGUUCUAAUGUUGCCCUUAUCAAUUGCACAUAUCAAAGCAUUGUAUAGCUCAGAUAUUAUUAAAACAAAUCCGUGAUCAAGCGUGCUCUAUAGAUUAAUCAGAAUAUGCUUCAGUUCAUUUACAUUAUAGCUUCUUCUACUUUUACUUUAUUGAUUUCUCUGUUUACUUAUUAAUUGUAUUAAAAAUAUUAAUUUGUCUAUCGAAGUGCUAACGAGUAAUGCAACUCAAAGUCGUUUGAUUUACUGUGCUCUUGAAUAUUGAUAGCUCUUAUUUAAGGACUUGGAAAGAAAGCACAUCUCCUCUUGCUGAUUCGUUGCCAUGCAUGAACUAUUGAUCCAAAACCCUCUUUAACCAUGUUGGUGAUUGAUUAGCUAGUAGUUUUGGUAUAAUUCACGAGCAUUUUUGUGCUACAAUGGGCCCAAACCCUCUUUAACCAUGUUGAUGAUGUUUCUAAUUAAUUUGCAAGUUCUGAUACACACACACACCACAAAACGUAAUGUAUAUAGCUCACAUAUAUUGACACAUGAGCAUAAACUACCCAUGAAUUGGAGGAAAUUUAUCAUAACAAAUAUAAGGAGCUCAAUGUUUCUCAAAUAUUGAUUUGCGAUUUAGGUAUCACCAGUUAAGGAUUAGAAAUGAUGAUAUUCCUAAAACUGCAUUUAGAACUUGUUAUGGACACUACGAGUUCCUAGUGUUGUCUUUUGGAUUAACGAAUACACUAGUAGCCUUUAUAGACAUGAUGAACAAGGUUUUUAGGCCAUUUAUUGAUAGAUUUGUUAUUGUAUUCAUUGAUGAUUUUUUAGUGUAUUUUGAGGAGUGAAGAGGAAUAUGAAGAGCAUUUGUUACUGGUUCUUUAAACUAUAGUUUUGAAACCCGGACCGGCCCGGUGGGUCGACCCCGGACCCGGCCGACCCAUGCCUAGGACCGGUCCGGGUCUAAGUAAAAAUCCGCUGGGGAAUUGGCCCAGCGAAACUCGGUUGACCAGGAACCCGGGUGACCCGGGUAAACCCGGCUGAGACCCAACCUCUCUUUUGUUUUUUUAAUAUACAUGGAUGUGAAACCACGUCGUUUUGGACUCUCAUUUCCUAUUUCUACAUUUUCUCAGAAACCAAACUGAGGAUAUCAAAGAGCAGAGGAUUUCAUAGUAAAUCAGGAAACAUUUAAGUACCAAUCAUUUAAUAAAAAAAUAUCUUCGCACCAACAGAAAGAAAUUGUAAAGCCCUUAAAUUUCAAUUCAAAGAAAAUGAAAAGAACAAAAAAUCAAAAUUUUAAACAGGCAUGAAAAACAUAUAAAAUCUCUUCUUAAGCAUCAAAAACUCUGUUUCAAUGAUCUCAUGAAACAUCAAAAGACUAGGAUGAUUAUCUUAAUAUUUUAAGACCCUUUCGAUGCUCUUUUCCUUAAUAUUUUCUCAAGAAACAAACGAAACUCAUAUGAGAACACCAAUUUACCUUCAAGUCCAGGCGCUUUUCCCAUCCACUUGGCACUUGCAAAUCGAGGUCCAAUUCUUGAGAUUCGCUCUCUACAUUAUCACCACAACGUUCCUAUCAUCCGUGUAUUCACUCCAAAGCCUUACCAGAGAGCUCACCUCAACUGCCAUAUUCACAAAAAAAGAGCUCAUUUUCUUCUUCUUCACAACAGCAGCAGCAGGGCACCCCUGCUUGAAAACGCGCUCUAGCGGCUUCUCCAUCAAAUGUGCCCUAAUCUUGACCCUUAUCCUUUCUUGGGGCUUGGGGUCCUUUGAAUUCUUGUGGAGGAUUUUGUCGAGGCUUUCAUUGGAGCUAGAGAGACAGAGGGAGAGUGGGUGAUUUGUGUUAAAAUUUAACACAUGUUAAUGUAUAUGAGAGGGGAGUUAGAAUAUAAAUAGAGGGAUAGAUAUAUGCCAUGUUAUGAUAGGAAAAAAGCGCCUCUGUCUCUGACUCUCUCUGGCUUCUUUUUUUUGAGUUGACUCAUGUUAACCCGGGUCAACCCAUCUGACCCGUGACCAGAUCAUUAGACCGGGUCGACCACCGGGUUGGGUUUCAAAACUAUGCUUUAAACUCUGAGAUAUCAUCAAUUGUAUGAAAAGUUUUUGAAAAGUGAGUUUUGGUUGGAGAAUGUUGGAUUUUUGGGACAUGUGAUGUCGAAAAAUGGGAUAGAGGUUGAUCCACUAAAGGUGAAGGCAAUUAAGAAGUGGCCUAGAUUGACUAUAGUAUCUAAGAUUAGGAGUUUCAUGGGUUGAGCACGAUACUAUAAGUGGUUCAUGAAGAGCUUUUCACGAAUUGCAGCUUUAUUGACUAAGUUGACACAGAAAAAAGUCAAGUUUUAGUGGUCAAAACAGUGUAAGAAGAGUUUUCUAGAGUUGAAGGAAAGGUUAAUUGAGACUUUGAUUUUGAUAGUACCUUCAGAGCCUGGUGGCUUUACUGUGUAUUGUGAUGCAUUAAGAAUUGGAUUGUGUUGUGUUUUAAUGCAAAAUGAUAAUGUGAUUGCUUAUGCCUCGAGGAAAUUGAAGAAAGAUAAACAAAAUUACCCCACACACGAUUUGGAGAUGGUUGCGAUAGUGUUUGCUCUUAAGAUUUAGAGACACUACUUGUUUGGAAAGACAUGUGAGAUGUUUUCAGAUUAUAAGAGUUUUCAAUAUAUCUUCCAAUAGAAGGAUCUGAAUAUAAGAUAAAGAAGGUGGAUAGAAUUGUUAAGUGAUUAUGAAUGCAUGAUUCAAUAUCACCCGAGAAAGGUGAAUGUUGUUGCCGAUGCCUUGAGCAUAAAGUGUAUGGUGGUUUGGCUUAUAUUCAAGAGGUGAGGAGGCUAUUGAUUAGGGAGUUACACAAGUUGUUGGAUGAGAAGGUUAGUUUUGAGAUUGGGGAAUUGGGAGCAUUGUUGGCUCACUUUCAAACUAAGUCGAACUUGGUAGACCGGAUUAAAGCAAUUGAUGAGAGAUGAGCAGCUAUAUAAGAUUCAAAAUGAGUUAGAGUUAGGAAAGGCUCUGAGUUUUAUUGUUGAUGAGGAUGGUUUUUUGAGAUUUGGUUUUAGGCUUUUGUGUGCUUGAGAUGGAUGAUUUAAAAAGAGAUGUGAUGACGGAAGCAUAUCAAACCACCUAUAAUGUACAUCCUAGUUCUAACCAGAUGUAUAGAGACUUGAAAUAGUAUUACUAAUAAAAUGGCAUAAAAGACAUUACUGAGUUUGUAUCUCAAUGUUUGACCUAUUAGAGGAUUAAAAGCGAGCAUCAUAAGCCAGUAGAGCUUUUACAAUCAUUGUUGAUUCCUAACUUUUACAAUCAUUGUUGAUUCCUGAAUGGAAAUGAGAUAAAAUCAUUAUGGAUUUUAUGUGAAGUUUGUCUCGGAAAGGUGACAGUUGAUUCUACCUUUCCCAUGAACUAUCUGAAUGAAAUUAAUUACCUGGUGGAAUAUUGUUGGUGGUAUCCGACAUGAUUAAAGUUACGUAACAUGAUCCAUCAUCACUAGUCUCUCCUCAUUGCUGGAAUCCGACAUGAUCAAGGUUUCCAAAGGGAGAGCCUUUAAUUUGCUUCUGUCAAGUUGGAAAUUUUUAUCUUAAUCUGAAACCAUUUGAGCCCAUGAUCUGGACUUUUGUUCUACUUUUUAAGCCUUUGUCUUUGUCUUUGUCUUUCUGUUUAGAUGGCAUUGGAUCGUCUUCCCUGCAAAAAAAUCUCUUAUGAAGGUAGGAAAUUUGAAUUUUCUUUAUACAUUCAAUAUAGCUUGCUAUCGAAAAUACUUAAAAGAUGAUAUCUUAAUUUACAUAGCUGAUGUCCAUUUAUUCUAACUCUUCUCCAAAUAAUCAUAGGAUUUAUGCAGUUUAUGCAUUCGGUCACGCCUUUUCUACUGAAUGGAUUAAUUAUUUUAUUACGCUUGAAUCAUUUAUUUAUCUGUAUUGAUUUAAUUUUUUUGCUGUAAUAUAUAUACUUUUUAAUUAAUAUGGGUGUUCGGGCCAGCUUGCAUGCACCUCGACUAAUCUCACGGGCCCUGAAGUUAAUGACCAUAUAAGCCUCCAGUAGUCCUAAGAUUUGUGAGACUCGAACUGUUGAUCUUUAAAAAGUAAAUCCAAAAUCUAAUCAGUUAAACUAUACCUUUUCAGGUUUUAUUUUUUUUUGCUGAAAUAUUGCUCCUCUUGUAUAUUGUUGUUGUCAUUGAAUUUUAUUAAUAGAGAUAAUCAUUGCGUAUUUAAAAGAAAGUGGUGAAUGAUUUUUCAAAAAGGGUUACAUUUAUGUUGAUUUAAUUAUCUAUACCUUUUAAACCUUUUAAGUGGAAUUUUUGGGAAUUAAACUUCAAAUUGAGUUGUUCAACAAAAUAAAAACAAUAAAAAUAUUACAUGUGUGCAAGGGAUUCCGACUAUAUAUCUGCUCUUUGUAGAAUUUAAACCUUUUUCAUUAGUCAUUUUGCUUUGCUUUAAUCUGCAUUGAAAAUUAAUUUUUAUUCUUUUAAUAUUAAAUCAUUUAAUAUUUCCUUUUAUUCUUUUAAUUUGUUUCAAUAUGAAAUCGACAGUCCAUACCUUCCCUGCAAAAUUAAUUUGGUUUAAUCAAGAACAUAGGUCACGACCUUAAUUAAUAAUUUAUCUUUGAAGAUGAAGAUUGUUACGAUACAAUUAAUCAAGAAAUAUUUUGUUUUUGUAUUUAAAAUUGUGUUUGAAUAAAUUUUAAAAAUUUAUUUGUCUUGAAAAAAUAUAUUUUUAAUAUUUUUUUAUAUGCUAAUAUUAAAAAAAAAAUUAAUUUGAUUAAUGAAAUCUCCAAGCAACUUAUAUCCAUGCAUUAUGAAGAGGGAAAAAAAAGAAAGAGAGAUAUCUACUACCUUAAUAUGCUAUUCUUUCUCAUUCACGUGUUUACAUUUUCCAGGCAGCUUCUUCAAAGUUUCAACAUUAGGGUUCCUUCCUUCCUAUAUAUUAUAAUAUAAUGUUUGGUAGGUAAGCGGCGGGUUCCUUCCUAAUUCCUAUCAAACAAUACAAUAAUUAAUUAUUAUUAUUAUUAUUAUUUAUACAACUUUAUUAAUUUUCUAAAUCAUAUAAUCAUCUCUGAUCUGUGAUUUCUCGUCUCUUUUAAUCCUCAGGACGUACUAAUCAUCUUGUACCUAUUUUCCUUUCCACAUCUCACCAGUGCGAACUAGAUUUAUGUAUACUGCAACUUUAUUAUUUUUUUAAACCAUAUAUUCUUCUCUGAUCUGUGAUUUCUCUUCUUUUUUUUGGCUGAUUACUGCUCAAGCAAACCAGCACUUGAAUCCAGGUAAAUUAUUUUUACUUCAUCUUCUUCAUCUUGUUGGUGUUUUUGUUUUUAUAUUUGUAACUAUGGUUUGAAUCUUUUAACUAAUCCAUAAUAAAUGAAUCGAUCUUUUUCUCAGAUUUGUCAUUUUUUUAAACCAUAUACUGUAUCUCACCAGUGCGAACUAGAUUUAUGUAUACUGCAACUUUAUUAUUUUUUUAAACCAUAUACUCUUCUCUGAUAUGUGCUUUCUGUUCUUUUUUCACCUCCGGUACUAGUCAUCUUGUACUUGUGGUGAGAUGGAAGGAGUUCCCACCAUCUGUAAAAAAGUUUAUUUUUUCAAUCAGGAAAGAAACAUCAUAGCUUGAACAUGAACCCAGCAAACUAAACAUAAGUUUGUAUUGCUUCAUAUUGUUUGCGAAUGAUUUUGGAUUCAGGAGUCAAUAUUUUUCUAAUCAAGCUGCUGUAAUUCCUAACAUAGACAAUAUACAACAAGAGAACUGCAUGCCUCGGCACUUUGGAAACUCUACUAGGUACUGAUUGACUUCUAGCUGUUGUGUUUUAACACCAUUAACUUUUACUGCUUAAGAGAGACUACCAAUUAUGGAAAGGUUUUAUAAUAUGAUCACUUCAUUUUUAUACAGGUCACAGAUGGAUAACCUCCAAGUCAGAGGAUUGCAAAAUCAAACUGCAGGCCUUGACACUUCCUUGCAAAGUCAAAUUAGGGGUUUAAAUACUCAACAAGUAAGAAGUAUAAUUGAAUUAUCGUCGUCUUUUCCCCCCUAUGAUUAUGCAAUAAACUAACUAUCAAUUUUAAUAGCAAAGUAAGGGUAACAGCGGUGAAGUAGUUUCUCAUCCAUCCGGAUAUGGUGCAACUUCCUCCCCCUCUUUUUUUCUAAAGGUCGAAAUGGUUGGAUCAAGGGAUCCAUUUUGGAAUUUUGUUGAAAAGAGGGCUAAUGGUAGCAUGACGUGUAAGUUUUGUCAACGUACAUGGGACAAUAAAAUUUCCAUUUCAAGGUUCAAAUGGCAUUUAUCAGGAGAGAAAAGGCGUGGUGUUGACAUUUGUCUUGGGGUGACUACAAAAGUUCAAGAAGCAGCCUUUCAAGCUAUGAAUGAUGGCAACAAAAGACAUAAAAGCACAGAAAGUUCAAUUAAUGUUAAUGAUUGUGGAAUUUCAACUUGUCCACAAGAACAAAACAUUGAGAAUGAAAAUAUGGGAGGAGGUACUGGAAGGGUACAAAGAGAAGUUCAGGUUAUAGAACCCGGAGUAGGGGAAGAGAGGAUUACUUCACAUGCAAUAACAGGAAACGACAAAGUAAGCAUGACCGGAAUGAGAGCACAUGAAGAUAGAGUUUCCGAAGGGGCACUCGAGAGGAGACUGAGGACAGAACCAGUGGAUCGACCGUUGGAACAAAGCAAUGCAGUACUUGGCAAUUUGGCAGGGGGUGCUGGAAGGAUAAGAGUUCAGGGCAUGGAACAAGGUCCCGGAAAAGAGAGAAUUCAGUCGCAUUUACAAGCGGAAAAUGGCAUGGAAAACACUGGUGAAGGAUCUUUUCAGCAUGAUGCAUUUGAGACUACCAAGAACAGAGCAAGUGCAGCUUCUGGAGCCUCGAGGAGAUUCAUCCCAAUUUUUUCGUGACAUUGGAAGAUGUUAUGAUCAACCUUGUGCUCCAUCAAUAAACGAUGAUGUAAAUAGGCAUGAUGCGCUGGACAUGGUUAGAGUGACGACAGAACCAGUGGAGGAGGAUGAUGUGGAGAAUAGUGUUAGAUCAGUAGUGCAGGCUGGCGCAGGAGAUAGAUCUUCUGAAAGUCUAAAAUACGACAAGACUAGAGGAGUUCCAUUACCUACUAACAAUACAAAGCCAGUGAGUCAAGCAUUUGAAGAGAAUACAAAGGUGAUAUUGUCUUUGUUAAUGGAUGAUGAAGUCGCAAUCAUUGGCAUUUACGGGAUGGGAGGAGUUGGUAAAACAACAAUAAUACUACAUAUCUAUAAUAAGCUUCUACGAAGACCAGACAUUUGUGAUCAUGUUUGGUGGGUGACUGUGUCUCAAGAUUUCAGCAUUAAUACAUUGCAGAAUUUUAUUGCUAAACGUCUUGAUCUAGACCUUUCAAGCGAAGAUGAUGUUCGACACAGAGCUGCCAAAUUGUCAGAAGAACUAAGGAAGAAACAAAAAUGGAUUCUGAUUUUAGAUGAUUUGUGGAACAAUUUUAAGCUUGACGAAGUGGGAAUUCCUGUCCCAUUAAAAGGAUGCAAGUUGAUUUUGACAACUCGAUUAAAAACAGUAUGUAAUCGGAUGACUUACCACCACAAAAUCAAAGUGAAGCCACUUUCUGAGGGAGAAGCUUGGACUUUGUUCAAGGAGAAUCUUGGACGUGACACACUUUUACAAAAAGUGGAAGUAAUUGCAAAAGCUAUUGCAAGGAAAUUUGCUGGUUUGCCUUUGGGAAUUAUUACAGUGGCAAGAAGCUUGAGGGGAGUGGAUGACCUCCAUGAGUGGAAUAAUACAUUGAAGAAAUUGAAAGAAUCAGGAUUUAGGGACAUGAAUGAGAAGGUAUUCAAGGUGUUGAGGGUUAGUUAUGAUCGGCUAGGUGAUAUAGCACUACAACAAUGUCUCUUGUACUGUGCAUUAUUUCCCGAAGGUCAUGUGAUUGAAAGGGUGCAGUUGAUAGAUUAUUUGAUCGAUGAGGGAAUAAUUAAAGGAACGAGGAGCAGGAAAGAUGCAUUUGACGAGGGCCACACAAUACUUAAUAGACUUGAAAAUGUCUGCCUAUUAGAAAGUGCUAAAACGAGGAGAGGGAAAAAUGGUGUCAAGAUGCAUGACUUGAUUAGAGACAUGACCAUCCAUUUACUGCUAGAGAGCUCUCAAUACAUGGUUAAAGCAGGUGCGCAAUUAAAAGAGCUGCCAGAUGCAGAGGAGUGGACGGAGAACCUGACGAUUGUUUCACUAAUGCAAAACAGAUUUGAAGAAAUUCCUUCCAGCCAUUCACUAAAAUGUCUAAAUCUGUCAACUCUAUUUCUAUCUGAUAAUGAAGGGUUGGGAUUGAUUGCGGAUUCAUAUUUCAAGCAAUUGCAUGGGCUCAAGGUCCUCCAUCUAUCUUGCACAGCUAUUGAAAAUUUGCCUGACUCUGUAUCUGAUUUGGUGAGUCUCACUGCAUUAUUGCUUAAUGAUUGUGCGAAAUUAAGACAUGUUCCAUCAUUAAAGAAGCUCAGGGCACCGAAGAGGUUGGAUCUCUCUGAAACUGUGCUUGAAAAGAUGCCGCAAGGAAUGGAAUGCCUAACCAACCUAAGGUAUCUUAGACUGAAUGGAUGUGGUGAAAAAAAGUUUCCUAGUGGGAUAUUACCAAAACUCUCUCUCCUGCAAGUCUUUGUACUAGAAGACUUUUUUGAGGGAAGUUAUGCUCCGAUAACAGUUGAAGGAAAGAAAGUAGGAUCCUUGAGAAAUUUGGAAACUUUGGAAUGCCAUUUCGAAGGUCUCCCUGACUUCGUGGAGUAUCUCAGAUCUCGGGAUGUGGAUGUGACCCAAUCAUUAAGCACAUACACAAUUUUAAUAGGAAUAAUUGAUGAUUUAGAUUAUUUGGUAGAAAUUGAGUAUCCUUUUCCAAGUAAAACAAUUGUGUUGGGUAAUUUGAGUAUCAACAGAGAUAGAGAUUUUCAAGUCAUGUUCUUCAAUGACAUUCAAAAACUGGUUUGUGAAAGCAUCGAUGCAAGAAGUUUAUGUGAAUUUUUAUCAUUAGAGAAUGCAACUGAACUGGAGUUCGUCUGCAUUCAGGAUUGCAAUAGCAUGGAGAGCUUGGUUUCAUCUUCUUGGUUCUGCUCUGCUCCACCACCAUUGCCAUCAUAUAAUGGUAUGUUUUCUAGUAUUAAAGAGUUUUAUUGUGGAGGAUGUAACAAUAUGAAGAAGCUGUUCCCCCUUGUGUUGCUGCCAAACCUCGUAAAUCUGGAAGUGAUUCAAGUGAUGCUCUGUGAGAAAAUGGAGGAGAUAAUAGGAACAACAGAUGAAGAAAGCAGCACCUCCAAUUCUAUCACGGGAUUCAUUCUCCCAAAGUUAAGAACUCUGAGAUUGAUUGGUUUACCAGAACUGAAAAGUAUUUGCAGUGCAAAACUGACUUUCAUUUCUAUUGAAGAUACUACUGUAAGGUGUUGUAAGAAGCUGAAGAGGAUUCCAAUUUGUCUUCCGUUGCUUGAAAAUGGCCAGCCAUCUCCUCCCCCUUCUCUUGCAAAAAUCCAUGCAUAUCCAAAAGAAUGGUGGGAGACAGUAGUAGAGUGGGAGCAUCCUAAUGCAAAGGAUGUCCUUCGCCCCUUUGUAGAGUUUUGGUAGGAGCAUCAUUUAUCAAUUCUAUCCUUCUGGAAGAAUACUAAUUGAUUGUUACCUUAAAUUUGCUCUUAUUCAAUAAUAUAUCAUUUUAUUAUUAUUAUUUUGGAUAUGAAUGAUGAAAAUUUCCUGUAUUCUGCUAUGAAAUAUUUCUUUUUUAUAUAGUGUGCUUACAAUUACAUAAAUAACAUUUUUCAUUUUUUUUAUUUGUUUCAUUGUCUUUUUAAGACUAUUGAAUUGUCAUAUAUUUUGAAAAAAGAAUGAUAAUCGAAUUACAUGACUUGGAAUUUUGAAUUAUAUUUAGAAUAAAAUUUCAUAUAUACCUUUCCUCAUACAAAAAUUCAUCCUAUUUUUCUAUAUUCCUCAAGAUUUUUUCUUCUGUAUUUUUAAGUUUUUUCUGUCUUUAUAAACAACAUAAAAAAUAAACAAAAAGGGGUUGUGUUUUUUUCAUUUGAUGUUUAUUAAGAUGUUAGGUUUAGUUAUUAUCAUACAAAUUGUGAAGGGUGCAAAAGCUAGCUUGUAGAUUUUUUGGUAAGUGCUUAAAAACUGCAUAUUGCAGGGCCGCAACAAGGUUGCAUUAUACCUUCACCUCCAUACCGAACUCCUCUUCAUCUCUUAUUGUUAAUAAAAAUGUAACAAUUUAGGAGCAUGAGGGAACAUUUUCACAGUGAAGAUUAAUUCAUCUCCAAAGCAGAAUACAGGAAAUAGAGAAUUAAAUCAAUAAAAGUAAGGUAUUUCAUCGCCAGUGAAUUCAUCUCUUCGAGCAUUCUUGAAUUCUACAUCGGUGAAUUUCAGUACAACUACUAUACACAAGAUGUAGCACUCUUCCCCUUUCCAACCUUGCUUAAUUCAUCAAAAGCUAAUUCCUGUAUAUCAACUUGGUUUGGGAAAAUAACUGAAAAACUCUGUUAAAUGAGUUCUAUGAAAAUGAGGAAGGCUAAGAUUCUCUAUUAAAUGCUUCUGAGAGAGUAUGAACUGAACAUUCAUUCUCUGUUGGAUGAGUUUUGGUUUCUAAACCUGAAAUUGCCAUCAUAAGCACUAGCUAGGGAAGUUAGGAUGAGCUUUUCCUGUCAUUAUAUCACAUUUUUCUGCUAGGAUAAUACUCUUUAUAUUCUCAGCUAUUAUUGCUUAUAAUCAUAGUUUUGAAACCCGGUCUGGUCAUCGACCCGAUCAAGUGCUCGGGUCACGGGUCAGAUAGGUUGACCCGGGUCAACCAAAAAAAAAAGAUUAUGCUUCCCAGUAAAUUUUAUCAAAGCUAGUUUCUUAUCCUGAACUAAUAACAAGCAACCAGAUGUGGAAAAUCAGCCAGCAGUCAACGAACCAUCACACUCUACAACUUCUAGGCCAGCAUAUCAAAAUCUCUACAACUUAUGUUUGCUUAAAUUUCCAGUCAACUGUAAAACCAAACGAAUAUUACUAGCCGAAAUAUUUUCAGCUGUUAAUAAUUCUUAGAACAGUUUCAAUCUCUGCCUAUAACAAUUCUUAGAACAAAAUUGGGUCUUAGAGCUAGAGAUUAUCCUAGCUAGUUCUCAAUCAAUAACACUUCUUAGAACAAAACUGCUGAAAUAUCAAUAGCUUUUUGUUCUCAAUCAACAUUAUUGAUUAUCCUAGCUAGUUCCAGAAGCAAAUGCAUCAAUUAAAACUAGUGCAUCGAACAAAACCAGUCCUCAUCCAUUUUCUACACUUCCUAAUAGCAAAGGAUUUAUUACGUUGCAGAAAAGAAAAGAACAGAGAAACAUACCUGAGGUUGAGAUGACUGGGCUGCGAAUGAAUCAAUGCGACUGAAUCAACGAGCAACGAAUCGAUGCCAGAAGGCCCAGAACUGCAAGUUCAAAACACGGCCAAGAAUAAAGAAAAGAAAGAGUGAAAAAAGAAGAUUCGUGAACAGAAACAAGCAUCUAACCUUUUUCAUAGUGAAAUAACAAUGAUCAAGACGUCUUUUGCUCUCCUCUGCUCCUCAGCUCCUCAGCGAUUGAAAUUGGUAUUUUCGUUAAUUAGGUUUGAAUGUGUCCAAUUCUGCUUUGUUGUUCUUCGUUAGUUCGUCGUUUUGGCUUUUAAAAAGGCCAAAAUGACGUCGUUUAAUGUCUAUUAGUAUAUAAAAAAAAAAGAGACCGGGUCUCAGCCGGGUUUGACCGGGUGGCCCGGGUCCCAGUUCGACCCGCCGGGUCGACCGGGUUUCACCGGGCCAACUCCCAAGCGGGUUUUUGUCUCCACCCGGACUAGUCCCAGGCCCGGGUCAGCCGGGUCCCGGAUCGACCCGUCGGGCCGGUCCAGGUUUUAAAACUGUGCUUAUAAUCUUCUUGCCUCUGGUAUCUUUUCCAACCCGUUUGAGGGAUGCUUUCUAAUUUUUUUUUUGGAUUGUAAAUUUGUUGUCCACCUGCACUGUAAAACAGAGUUGUAACUGGACCUAGGAAUCCAGGAGUUAUUGGUGACAGGGGAUCUGGAUCCUUUUCGAGGGAAAGUGAGUUCAACUGUUACAUUUUGUUUACAUUAUUAUCUUGUUGCACUAAAUCAAGAAGUUUACUAGACUUAUUAUUCUGUAAAUUUGUUUUCUGAGAGCUGAGCAUUUUAUACGACCCUGUGAAUGGGAAGAUUUUAUUCUCAUAUACUUGUUGCCAACUUACUUGUGAGCUAAGAAAUAUUGCUGAAUAGAAAUGCUUUCAUUCUUUAUUGUCGGCUUGAAAGUGAAUUGAACAUUUAUUACAUGAUUUUUCUUCUCCAUUUUAUUUAAUUUAAAAGCAUUUCAUGGUUGUUUUUCUGACUUCAUUAAGUUUUUCUAAAAGCCUGAUAAUUUGUCAGAUAAUUUUAGCAGGAGUCUUACAUAUGUAUGCAGGUCAGAAGUCAUUUCCAUCAAUAUGAUGGAGUAGUAUGAACAAUUUUUUUUUUUUGUUUCUGCUAACGAUUUAUUUCAUGAUUAAGAUCGAUUUAUUUCCACUUUCUAGUAUACCAUAGUAGCCUAGGUGUGUUUUUUCCGAAAUGGUUAUGAGCAUUUUUCCAAUCUGCCGGGGAGGGGGGGGGGGGGGGUGUUGGCGGGCUUGGGCUAGGAGCGUGGUUAUUUUUAAUCUUGGGCUUUUGGCGACGCUUCACGCUGCUACCUUUUGAUUUGGCAAAAUUUUAUUCAAUUCAAUUCAUUAAAAAUAAUUGAAACUUCCAAGAUCAAAUAUGAUAUUGAGACCACGAGGAAGUCCAAAAUGCGGAGGCCUCCUGUUUCUUCAAUCUAUUUGUACCCCAUCUUCUGCUGCUGUGAUUAUUAAAGCCUUGCCCAAUAAUUAUUGGUUGACAACUUUCCUGCAACAAAAAUACAUACAGUAUCUUUGUAUCAAUGGAAAACUGAUGCGCAGAUUGGAUAGCAAAUGAUGCUUGAUGGCGUGGUUUUGAUGAGUGAAUGAAAGUGCAUUCUAAAUGUUCUAUCAUUGGAAUAAAAUGCUAAAAUAUGAUAACAAUAAUAGAAAUUAAAGGGUAUUUUUUAAUUGAAUUUCCAAGGUAUGAUGGCGCCAACCUCCAUGAGAUAGUUAACCAAGAAGUGGAGGAAUGCCUUAGAGCACCUGAGAGACAAUCAAGAGUUGGCCAGCUUACAUGCACCUCGACUAAUCCCACGGAUCUUAAAGUUAACGAUCAUAUAAGCCUCUCGUGCUUCUAAAAUUUGUGAGACUCGAACUGGUGAUCUCUAGAGAACAAAUUUAGCGCCUGAUCAGUUGAAUCAUACCCCUCAGAGUUAUUUUGAUAUUCUCUUAAAUAGACAAGUAAAGGCCUAGAGCUUCUAUUUAUUUUUUAUUUUUAGUUUUGAAUCAAAACUUUAUUUUUAGUUUUGAUAUACUUAAGUAUUUUAAUCAUAACUUUCAACUCUCAUAUCGGAUUGCUGUGAUUCUUGACGCGUUGGAGAGGUAUCUUAAAGGGCUACAAAUUAGCCUCCAAUGAGGAUUUCAAAAAAGAUCUCCCAAAGCAUGUACGUGGCUGCCAAAGAAGUCCUAAAAUUUAGGCAAUUUGUUUUCGACACACUUGAGGUUGAAAAGUGGGGCUGCCUCCUCUGAAAAGAGGGGUAUUUGGCAUAAAGAAGACGCGUGGGAAUUGCACCAUAGAAAGAAAAAGGAAGAAGGAGAACAUGCAAGGAAAAAAUCUUCUCGGGAAAUUUUUAAUGUCUAAUACAGAUUUCCAAAUUAUUCUAACUCUUUUGUUCAGAUUUAUGCAGUUUAUGGAUUCAGUCAUGCCUUUCUAUUGAAUGGAUUAAUCUUUGGAUCAUUUAUUUACCUGUAUUGAUUUAAUUUCUUUGCUGUAAUAUUGCUCCUUAAGUAUAUUGUCGUCAUUGGAUUUUCUUAAUAGGGAUAAUUAUUUAAAAGUAGUGAAUGAUUUUUCAAAAGGGUUAUAUUUGGUUUAGUGCUGAUUUAAUUAUCUACACCUUUUAAGUGGGAGUUUUGGGAAUUGAUUUCGAAUUGAAUUAUUCAACAAAAUAAGAAAAAUUAAAAUAUCAAGUGUGUGCAAGGGAAAACACCAUAUUAAUAUUAAAAAUUUAAAAAUAUUUUGAUUAUUGAAAUCUCAAUACAACUUAAACCCAUGUAUUACGAAGAGAAAAAAAGAGAGUAAAAGGUUGAAAAUAUAUAAAAAUAAUAUUUUUUUCAGAUUUUAUUUUUUUAUUUUUAACAUUAAUACAUCAAAAUUAUAAAAAAACUAAAAUCAAUCUAUUUAUCUUUUUAAUUUUUUUAAAACAACAAUUAAAAACAAAAGUAAUUAUCCGCUAUUAAUCACAUACUUAAUUUGUUAUUGUUAAAACACCAUGUUUUCCAAAAAAAUUAAAUUUGUUUCUCUUUAAAUCAUUAAUUUUUAGUGUUUUUUAAAAUUAUUUUAAUGUAUUAAUAUUUAAAAUAAAUUUUUAAAAAUAAAAAAAAUAUUAUAUUAAUUUUUUUACUGCUUACAUUUUCUCGGAAACUUCUUCUAUGCUUCAUAAUUGGGGUGGUCCACACGUUAACUUCCUAUAUUAUUAUUAUACAUAAAGCUAAAACAUGUGGAGGAAAUCACUGUUCACCAAGACUCAUUACACUGUGGAUUGUAAUAGUGCUAAAAACGAGCAUUGUUCACCAAGACGCAUUGCACUGUGAAUUGCAUAAAUUGUGGGGGCAUUGUGGGCUGUAACCCCAAGCACAGACGCCUGGCGCAAGGGCAGUCCAUUCCUAGCCACAAAAGUUCCAAGGCUGCAGGGGGGAGGGGCAGCCACACCCAAGUUGGGCUGGAGGCGUCCACGCCCACACCCAGGUUGGGCUGGACGCGUCCACUCCCAACCCCAAGUUGCCACCUUGAGCUUGGGUGGCUCCAAUGUGAGGGGCAAACCCAAGCGCCACGUGGUGCUUUUGUCUUGGCAAAAGGCUUAAUUGCCUAUGACAGCCUCAAGUUGGGUCUGGAUGCGUCCGCGCCCAACCCCGAGUUGGGUUCUUGAAAUUACUAUUCAAAGUGUUCAUAUCAAAAUAUUAUUAUUUGUGUUAUAAAUAUUAUUAUUUUUAUUAUAACUCAAAGUAUUGAUAUAAAAAAUAUUAUUAUUUGUGUUGUAAUCAUCCUUGAAAUUCUUAAUAUAAUUAUUUAUGUUAUAAAUAUUAUUAUUUUUAUUAUAAUUAAUAGUGUGAAUAUUAAAAAUAUUAUCAUUGUGUUAUAAAUAUUAUUAUUUUUAUUAUAAUUAAUAGUGUGAAUAUUAAAAAUAUUAUCAUUGUGUUAUAAGUAUUAUUAUUUUUAUUAUAAUUUAUAUUAUUAAUAGUUUUGAAAAUAAAUUUAUUAAUAUUAAAAAAAUGUUAUUUGUGUUAUAAUUAUUUUUAUUUUUAUUAUGAUUAAAAGUGUUAAUAGUAAAAAUAAUAUUAUUUGUGUUAUAAUUAUUUUUAUUUUUAUUAUGAUUAAAAAUAUUAAUAUUAAAAAUAGUAUUAGUUUCUUUUUAUUAUGAUUAAAAGUAUUAAUAUUAAAAAUAAUAUUAUUUGUGUUAUAAUUAUUUUUAUUUUUAUUCCAACUUGGGGCACACAGCAACGCCCACACCCGAGUUGGGUCUGGAGGCAUGCUCGCCCAAACCCGAGUUAGGCGUGGAGGCAUCCACACCGACACUAAAGUUGGGGGUGGACGAGUCCACGCCCACACCCGAGUUGGGUCUGGAGGCAUGCUCGCCCAAACCCGAGUUAGGCGUGGAGGCGUCCACACCGACACUAAAGUUGGGGGUGGACGAGUCCACGCCCACACCCGAGUUGGGGGUGGACGAGUUCACGCCCAACCCCAAGUUGGGAGUGGUCGCAUCCACGCCCACACUCAAGUUGGGUCUGAAACUCAGGGUUGGGCGAGCACGCGUCCACACCCAACUUGGGUAUGGGCAUGGCUGGGUGCCCCAAGUUGUCCACGCCCGCCUUGGAUUUGGGUAGGGACGCAUCAAGACCCAACUUGUGGUUGGGGUUGGACGUGUCCACGCCCACUCCCAAGUUGGGUCUCGACGUGUUCGUGCCCAUCCACAUGUGUUAAUAUAAUAAUGUGUGUUAUAAAUAUUAUUUUUUCUCUACCUUUUUCCUUCUAAAAUUAUCUAGCCUUCUCUCUAAUAAACUAAGAAACAUCAACAUACAUUUUCUAGCCCAGCAGUGGUUCCACUAGCCGGUGACAGGAGCAGAGCUAGAAAUUUAAAUUUUUUUAGGUUUUAGGAUUAAACAUAUAAAUCUGUUGAAGGGGGUUGUAAAAAUUAAUUCCUUGCAGGGGCCGGACCCUGCCAGUCCCUCCUAGUUCUGCCCUGACGGCAGGUGACAGUGUGGUAGAGAUGUCUAGCUACUGCUCAAAGUCCCAGCAACAACGGUACUGUUGUAUAUAUAAGAAAUGGCAAUUACCCUAAAUAAUAUUUCCAUUGGUCACUACUUUAUGGGAACUCAAUUCCGCAUGUUCUUAUUGAGAGGCAUACUGUCCCUAGUUCAACCAAGAAUGGAGGUCAUAGCCAGCAGCGGAGCCACAUAAAUUAAAUUUUUUUUUAGAAGGUUAAAACUUGCAAUUUCUCGCAAGUUCUUUUUUCAAGCAAUUGCAUGGGCUCAAAGUCCUCGAUCUAUCUUUCACCUGUGUUGAUAAUUUGCAUAAUUCUGUCUCUGAUUUGGCGAGUCUCACUACAUUAAUGCUUGUUGGUGGUAAUAAGUUAAGGCUUAUACCGUCUUUAGAAAAGCUCAAGGCGCUGAAGAGGUUGGAUCUCUCUUGUUCUGCACUUGAAAAAUUACCUAAGGUAUCUCAGAAUGAAUGGAUGCGGUGAAAAGAAGUUUUCUAGUGAGAUAUUACCUAAACUCUCUUAUCUUCAAGUCUUUGUAUUAGAGGAGUAGAUGCCUACCAAAGGACAUUCAACAACUUACCAUUUUUAAAAGUUCAUGCGAUGUUUCAUCAUUAAUCAAGUAUGCAAUUGAACUGGAGCUCACCAACAUUUGGAAGUGCUAUAACAUGGAGAGCUUGGUUUCAUUUUCUUGGUUCUGCUCUGCUCCACCAUCAUCUCCAUCUUAUCAUGGUAUAUGUUCUAGUGUUAAAGAGUUUGAAUGCUCUGGUUGUAAGAGUUUGAAGAAAUUGCUCCCUCUUGUGUUGCUGCCGAACCUCGUAAACUUGGAAGAGAUUAGAGUUGAAGAAUAAAAGAAAAUGGAGGAGAUAAUAGGAACAAGAUCAGAUGAAGAAGGGGUAAAUUCCUGUGUUUUGGUUUAAAUUUUCGAGAAAAAGAAAGAAAGAAAUAAAAAGAUGAAUAAUAAUAAUAAUUGAUGGUGUAGAAAUUAUUAUCAAGAAGGUUAACGUUGCACCAUAUAAUCAAUCACUAGCCUCUCCUCAUUCAUGUGCUGGCUUCAGUGCAGUAGAAAAAAAAAUGGAAGUAAUUUUACCUUUAAUUAUGUUAAAAAAAUAUAGAUUGAAACUAUAAAGUUUUUUCAGAUGUGAUUUGGUUUUAAGUUGAAAAUUGAAUUUUAGAAGUUAAAAAACUAUUCCUCGAUCAAAACUAUCUGAAAAAAUAUUACAGUUUGUUGUCGUCUGCCCAAUUUUAAAAACAAGAAAUGCCACGUGUGUACGCCUGGUAUUCUAAGCCUAGAAAUAUUUAUUUUUAAUUUAAAAUUAAUUGUUUAAAAUUAAUAAUUAGAAUGCCAUGUAAAUAUCAUUCAACUAUGUCAUAUAUUUCAAUAAAACAACUCUUGUUUUGGUUAUAUUUGCAAUAACUUUGUUAAAUGAUCUAUGAGCAUAAUAUGCAAUAAAUUGUAAAACAAAUUGCAUAUAAAAUUAUAAAUGUUAUAUGAGAAUAAAAUAGAUUUUUUUUUUGUUAUUGUUGAUUUUUUAUAUAGUCUUGACAUAUUGAUUAUUUUUUGUUUUUUUAAAUUACAGCAAUAAAAAUUACAGCAAUGAUCGUUUUGUUUAUCAAUAGAAAGACAUGUUUUCAUAAUAAUAAUAAGAAAAUGAGAGUUUUUCCUUAAAAAAUAAUUUUUUUUCCUCUUGUAGUUUAAAUUAUUGAGAUUCUUGGAAAUAUUUAUUUGAAUUACCUUGAGUUUUUAUUAAAAACAACAUUAUUAUUUUUCUGAGUUAGAUUUUAAGUUCUAAUUUUGGCUUCCCUUUUACACGGUUGUCUACUUUAUAUUUUUCAAAUUUAUUAUUUUUCUGUUAAUAUUUUCCCUUACUGGUUUGGCUUUUUGUGUUUCAAAAUAAAUUAAAAUAUAUAUAUUUCAUAUUGCUCUUUUUAGAAGAUAUUUGGAAUCAUUUGCCAAAUUUAUUUUCUGUUUUUAUUUUUGAAUUUUGAAAUGACUCUUCAAGAAACACUUCCAACCAAUUAUUUACCCUGGAACUUGGACGAUGUAUAAUUCCAAGCGGGCAUGCUGCAUUUCUUAGCCAGGUGGAGCAAAAAUUUGGGUAUGAUUAGUUGGGCUAGUUUAUAGGCCUUUUGCAAUAGGAUUUCUGUCCUUUCUGCUAAUUUAUCUAAAUAUAAGCUUUAGAAUCUUGAUUCUGAAUUUUUUAUUUUGACACGAGUUUGAGAUGAAAAAGAAAAGUCACCCAAAAAAAAACUUGAAAAAAAAAAAAAAUUACUGGCUGACAACUUUCCAGCAACAGAAAUACAGUAUAUUUGUAUUAACUGGUGUGCAUAUUGGAUAGCAAAUCAAGCUUCAUAGAAAAACUGUUGAAGUUUUCUACUCAUGCACUGAAGCUCCCUCUGGUUGUUUGAAGCUAAAGCUUGAUAUUGGCGUUCCUGGGGUUUUGAUGAGUGUAUGGAAGUGCAUACUAUCAUUGGAAUAAAAUGCUAAAAUGUGAAUAAAAAUAAUAGAAAUUAAAGGGUGUUUUUGAAUCGAACUUCUAUUUACUUUGAUGUACUCUUAAACAGACAAGUCAGGGCCAGGAGUCGUGAGAUUCACUUGGAAACAGCCUGGAUACACCAAUGUAUUUUAGUCAUAACUUUCCACUCACAUAUCGGCUUGCUGUGAUUCUUGACGCGUUGGAAAGGUUUCUUGAAGGGCUACAAAUUAGCCUCUAAUGAGGAUUUCAAAAAAGGAACUCCUAAAGCAUGUACGUGGCUGCCAAAAAAAAGUCCUAAAGUUGAGGCAAUUUGUUUUUGACACAACGGGGAUCAUGGAGGCGUGAUGUGAAAAGUGGGGCUGCCUAAUUUGAAAUGAUGGGUGUUUGGCAUAAAGAAGACGUGUGGGAAAUGCACCAGAGAAGAAAAAAAACAGAAAAAGGAAAAGGGAUUUAUGUAGUUUAUGGAUUCAGUCAUGUUUUUUCUAUUAAAUGGAUUGAUUCUUUGAUUAUAUUUGUAUCAUUUAUUUAUCUGUAUUGAUUUAAUUUCUUUACUAUAAUAUUGCUCUUUACGAAAUAAGAAUAAUUAAAAUACCAAAUGCGUGCAAGUUAUUUUAAAAAAUUAAAUUUUAAAUAUAGGAUUUAGAAUCUUGAUGAAUGAAACUAGCAGCUACCGGCUUAAAUAUUUUCUUUUAAGGAAGUGCAGCGUUGUGUCCCGAGAGAGGCCACCGGGCAAAUGCCAAGAUUAUUUUUUAUUUUAUAUUGUAAAUUUUUUAAAAUUAAUUUUUUUAAAAUGUUUUUAGAUAUUUUUAUAUAUAGGUAUCAAAAAUAAAUUUUAAAAAAUAAAAAUUAUUAUUUUAAUAUAUUUUUAAAUAAAAAAUACUUUAAAAAUUAAUCGUUAUAAUUCUAAACUGGCGGUGACGACACCAAACUAUAGUAUCAACAAGAUUUUCCUCGUAUUAAUGAAAGCAUUCUGCAUAUUCGACACAAAUUGAAAAACAUGUUUCUUCUUAAAUUGUUAUUUUCAUGUGUUUUUUAAAAUCCGAAUAUUUGAGAACGUGGUUGUUGCUAAUAUCCACCUCAGCAUGUACCUUCUGGUUAUAAACACCUUGGGUAUAUUGGUAAAAUAGAAAAACAUGUGAUUAUAUCAAGAUAAAAUAGAAAAACAUUCUGGUUAUAAUGGCAUUGACUCAAAACCUUUAAUUUGUCUUUUAAUUUUUUUAUUCAAGCAGCAAUGAACUCCCAAACAUUUCAUAUUCUUUUUGUUAUUCACGUGUUUACAUUUUCUAGGCAGCUUCUUCAAAGUUUGAACAUUGGGGUGCUCCACACGUUAACUUUCUAUGUCAUAUAAUAUAAUGUAAGGUAGCUAGCGGCAACUUUAUGUAUACUGCACUUUAUUAUCUUUCUAAACCAUAUGUUCUUCUCUGAUCUGUGAUUUCUCUUCAUUUUUUGCUGAUUGCUGCUUAAGCAAACCAGCACGCACUUGAAGAACAUCUUGAAUCAGGUUAAUUGUUUUUACUUCAUCUUGUUGGUGUUUUUGUUUUUCUAUAUGUAACUAUAUAUGGUUUGAAUCUUUAAAGUAAUCCAUGAUAAAUAAAUCGAUCUUUUUCUCAGAUUUUGUAAUCCAUGCCCUGUGGUGUUCAUACUAAAUUAACCCUAAACCUUGAAUUCAUUGUUUUUAUCUUUUCAAAAUUCUUUGCUGUUUUUAACUCCUUAUUUUAGUUUCACCAUUAAUUUUUAUCCAAUAUUUUUCGGACAAAAUGAUUCAAUGAAAAAUUGUUUUUUACUGAUUCAUGAAUUAACUUGACCAGUAAUUACCUUUCAUUAAACUUGUUUACAACAAGUGACAAAUAAUUAUUUAGCAUUAAAACAAAGAGUUAAAUCAUUAACAGCAACAUUUAUAUUUCCUAUUUUUCCUCCGAAUUUCUUUAAGAAAUAAAUAAGUCAUAUAUAUAUAAAUUUCUUAUCUAAUCUGCGCUUUCUGUUCUUCUUUAAACCUCAGAUGGAAGGGUUCCCACCAUCUUCUGCGGAGGAUGAUGUCAUGAUCAACUUGACAUCGAAUCAGUUCGAUAUUCAAUCACCAGAAGAUUCAUUCAAUAUAUCUGAGCUUCUCUCGUACGUCAUUCUUAAGCAUAUUUUAUCAAAAGAUGAUUCCUUGCAAUUUAGUUAUUCUUCAGUUUUUUCUAUUAUUCCCAAAAAACAAUAAUGUCCCAAAAAAAAAACAGGUCGCCACUGGAGGAUCUAGCCAACCAAAGCUUCAUAUCAUGCAAUGAUCAAGUUGAACAGAACUUCGUGGUGGAUAACAAUGUGAUCAACGAUAGUAUUCAGCAAACAACUCAGUUUCCACCUUCAUCUUCUCAAGCUAUAGUGAGUGCUCAUGCUUAGUGAGUGUUUCGAAACGUAAUUUUUAAAAUUUUGAAUUUAUUUUGUUUAAAAUUAAUUUAUUUAUAUAUUUUUGAAUCGUUUUAAUAUGAUAGUGUUAAAAAAAUUUAAAAUAAAAAAAAUAUUUAAAUAUAUUUUUAUGUGAAAAAUACUUUGUAAAACAACCGCUACCACAAUCAUAAACAAGCUAUUACUCCAAUUUGCUAUAAUGUGUCAAAGAACCAAUUCAACCCUAAAACUUAAAUUGUGAGGUGAGGUCCCAAGAUAUGAUUUAUAAUAUUCUUUAACACCCCUCUCAAGUAAAAGCUAUUUGGACAUAAAACUUGUACAAACUCACACUACCUUGUGCUUAAUUUUUAUCAAAUAAAUAGAGAUGAUGAGAUUCAAAGUCGUGACCACUUGAUUAUCAAGACUCUAAUACCAUGUCAAUAAACUAAUUCAACCUAAAAAUUUAAGUUAUUAGAUGAGGUCUCAAGAUAUGAUAUAUAUUAUUUUCUAACAUAAUAUCCAUUAAAUUAGCAAGUGUUUGUAUUGCUGUAUACGUUGAAUCAAAAAGUUUUAUGUAUUAGUGUAUCAAGAAUAGACAACUCAAUUUUAUAUAUAUAUAUAUAUUCUCUGCUAUGUGCUUUCUGUUCUUUUUUCACCACAGUACAUAAUUAUCAUAUCAUCUUGUACUUUUGGACAGAUGGAAGGGGUCACAGCAUCUUCUAUUGUGGAUGAUGUCAACUUGAGAUCGAAUGAGUCAGAUGGAAGGCCUCAGCUUCUCUUGUACGUCAUUCUUAAGCAUAUGUUAUCAGAAGAUGAUUACUUGCAAUUAGUUUUUGUACAGUUUUCCUUAUUAUUCCCAAAAAAAACAACAAUGUUACUGCCUAUAGAAGCAGGAAGGAGGUUUCAGGCAAUGAUCAAGGUGGACAGAACAACGUGAUCAAUGAUAGUAUUCAACAAACAACUCAGUUUCCACUUUCAUUUCCUCAAACCAUGGUAAGUACUCAGGCCAUUGAAUUAGCAAGUGUUUGUAUUGCUAUAUCGCCCAUUGGAUCAAAAAAUUUUAUGUUUUAGUGCAUCUUCAAAUUGCUUAUUGUCAAACAAACAGACAACAAUGGGAGGUUUCGAUGGAACAUCAUCAUCACGGACCAACCAAAAUGAACCAAAUUGGCCUCAAACUCCUUCAAGGUAUUCAUCAUUAUUUAACUUCUUCUUCUUGCACUUAUCAGUGAUGCCAAUUUAUUGCACUAAAUGAAUUCAUUAUGUUUGAAUAUAGUUAUCAGCCUAAUCCUAAUUUGUUUGAUCCUCAAUGUGCCAAUCCCAUGAGCAAUUAUGCAUAUGUAUACAGAAAUUAUUAACAAAUGUUGCCUAAUUUAGGGACCAACAAUGGACUAAUUAUCAGUUACCAAUGAGCAAUCCAGUGCCUGCCAUGCUACCUGGACCUCAACCUCCAAUGAAUCAAUGGUAUUAAUCUCAAAUAUACUUGACCAGAAUUGACGAGGAUCUUUCAAGUCUUUUUGAGCUUUCUAUCUCUCUUUUUUGUUUGCACAUAAUGGAACUAGAAAAUCAACCAAGUGAGAAUAAAAGUUCUAAGUUCUAAGUAUUCAUUAUGUUUAACUAUUUGAAUAUUUUUCAGGCAUCAUAAUUCCUUUAUUCAUCAACCUCAGCCGGGACAUGGCUAUAUGACACCGAAUGCAACCACUUCACAACAUGGUGGCUUCAAUCAAUUUGAACCUUCUUUUCCUGCUCUCCGGUAUCCAAUUUUUCAUUUUUAGUAUUUUCUAUAUAUAAAAAAAAAAUAGUUUUUCAAUCAGGAAAGAAACAUCAUAGCUUGAACAUUAACCCAACAAGCUAAACAUAUUGUUUGACUUUGCAAAUGAUUUUGGAUUCAGGAGUCAAUAUUUUUCUAAUCAAGGACAAGUCGAUCAAGCUGCUGUAAUUCCUAACAAAGACAAUGUGCAACAAGAGAACUUCGUGCCUAGGUACUGAUUGACUUCUAGCUGUUGCGUUUUAACACCAUUAACUUUUACUGCUUAAGAGAGACUACCAAUUAUGGAAAGGUUUUAUAAUAUGAUCACUUCAUUUAUAUAUAGGUCACAGAUGGAUAACCUCCACGUCCGAGGAUUGCAAAAUCAAACUGCUAGGCCAAAUGCCUCAAAUCCUGGCCUUGACACUUCCUUGCAACGUCAAAUUACGGGUUUAAAUACUCAACAAGUAAGAAGUAUAACUGAAUUAUCGUCGUCUUUUCCCCCCUAUGAUUGUGCAAUAAACUAACUAUCAAUUUUAAUAGCAAAAUAAGGGUAACUUGAUCCGUUAAUUUUUAUUCCAUAUUUUGACCUAUUUUUAUUCUAUAGGUCGAAAUGGUUGGAUCAAAUGAUCCAUUUCGGAAUUAUGUUGAAGAAAGGGCUGAUGGUGGUAGAAUGAAGUGUAAGUUUUGUCCACAUACAUAUGCCAUUAAAACUUCCAUUUCAAGGAUCAAAUGGCAUUUAUCAGGAGAAGAAGGGCAUGGUGUUGCCAUUUGUCGUUGGGUGCCUAAAGAAGUUCAAGAAGCAGCCUGGAAAGCCAUGUGUGGUGGCAACAAAAGACAUAAAAUCACAGCAAGUUCAAUCAAUGUUAAUGACUGUGGAAUUUCAACUUGUCCACAAGAACAAAACAUUGAGGUUAACAUGGGAGGAGGUAUUAGAAGGGUACAAGGAGAAGUUCAGGUUGUAGAACCGGGAGUAGGGGAAGAGAGGAUUUCUUCACAAGCAAUAGCAGGAAACGACGUAGUAAGCAUGACCGGAAUGAGAGCAACAGAAGAUGGAGUUUCCGAAGGGGCACUGGAGAGCAGACCGAGGACAGAACCAGUGGAUCGAGCGUUGGAACAAAGCAAUGCAGUACUUGGCAAUUUGGCAGGGGGUGCUGGAAGGAUACAAGUGGGAGUUCAGGGCAUGGAACAAGGUGCUGGAGAAGAGAGAAUUCAGUUGCAUUUACAAGCGGAAAAUGGUAUGGAAAACACUCCUGAAGGAUGUUUUCGGCAUGAUGCAUCUGAGACUAUACCAAGAACAGAGCAAGUGCAGCUUCAAGAGGCUCGAGGAGAUUCAUCCCAAUUUUGUCUUGACACUGGAAGAUAUUAUGAUCAACUCUGUGCACCAUCAAUAAGCAAAGAUGUCCUUAUGUAUGAUGUGCAGAACAUGGUUAGAGUGAGGACAGAACCAGUGGAGGAGGAGGGUGUGGAGAAUAGUGGAAGAUUAGUGCUGCCUGGCGCAGGAGCUGGAUCUUCUAGAAGUCUUAAAUACAACACAAGUGAGACUAGAGGAGUUCCAUUACCUACUAGCUCUACAAAACCAGCGGGUCAAACAUUUGAAGAGAAUACGAAUGUGAUAUGGUCUUUGUUAAUGGAUGAUGAAGUCUCAGUCAUUGGUAUUUAUGGAAUGGGAGGAGUUGGUAAAACAAAAAUACUGCAACAUAUUUAUAAUGAGCUUCUACAAAUACCAGAUAUUUGUGAUCAUGUUUGGUGGGUGACUGUGUCUCAAGAUUUCAGCAUUAAUAGACUGCAAAAUCUUAUUGCUGAACAUCUUGAUCUAGAUCUUUCAAGAAAAAAUGUUGAACUGCAUAGAGCUGCUAAAUUAUCAGAAGAACUAACGAAGAAACAAAAAUGGAUUCUCAUUUUAGAUGAUUUGUGGAAUAAUUUUGAGCUCCAAGAAGUGGGAAUUCCUAUCCCGUUGAAAGGAUGCAAGUUAAUUUUGACAGCUCGAUCAGAAAUGGUUUGUCGUCGGAUGGCUUGCCAACACAAAAUCAAAGUGAAGCCACUUUCUGAGGGAGAAGCUUGGACUUUGUUCAUGGAAAAACUAAGAUGUGAGAAAGCAUUUUCACCAAAACUGGAAGGAAUUGCGAAAGCUAUUGCAAGGGAAUGUGCUGGUUUACCAUUGGGAAUUAUUACAGUGGCAGGAAGCUUGAUGGGAGUGGAUGAUCUGCAUGAGUGGAGCAAUACAUUGAAGGAAUUGAGUGAAUCAAAAUUUAGGGACAUGGAUGAGAACGUAUUCAAGUUAUUGAGGUGUAGUUAUGAUCGGUUAGGUGAUUUAGCACUACAGCAAUGUCUCUUGUACUGUGCAUUAUUUCCUGAAGAUGGCUGCAUUGAGAGGGAGGAGUUGAUAGGUUAUUUGAUCGAUGAGGGAAUAAUUAAAGGAAUGAGGAGCUGGAAAGAUGCAUUUGACAAGGGCCACACGAUGCUUAAUAGACUCGAAUAUGUCUGUCUAUUGGAAGGUGAUAAAUUCAAAUAUGGUGGUGGUACAUUUGUCAAGAUGCAUGACUUGAUUAGGGACAUGGCUAUCCAAAUACAGCUAGAGAACUCUCAAGUCAUGGUUAAAGCUGGUGCGCAAUUAAAAGUGUUGCCAGAUGCUGAGGAGUGGACAGAGAAUCUCACAAGAGUCUCACUAAUGCAAAACCAUAUCAAAGAAAUUCCUUCCAGUCAUUCACCAAGGUGUCCAAAUCUAUCAACUUUAUUUCUAAAUGAUAAUGACUGGUUGGGAUUUAUUGCGGAUUCAUUUUUCAAGCAAUUGCAUGAGCUCAAGGUCCUCGAUCUGUCUGGCACAAGUAUUAAAAAUUUGCCGGACUCUGUCUCUGAUUUGGUGAAUCUCACUACAUUAUUGAUCAAAUAUUGUGAGAACUUAAGACAUGUUCCAUCAUUAAAGAAGCUCAGAGAAUUGAAGAGGUUAGAUCUCUCGUUGACUAUGCUUGAAAAGAUGCCAGAAGGAAUGGAAUGUCUAUCCAAACUGAGGUAUCUUAGAAUGAAUGGAUGUGGUGAAAAGGAGUUUCCUAGUAGGAUAUUACAAAAACUCUCUCACCUGCAAGUCUUUGUACUAGAGGAAGCGUCCAUUGAUGGAAGAUGUGCUCCGAUAUCAGUUAAAGUAGAGGAUGUAGUAUCCUUGAGAAAUUUGGAAACUUUGGAAUGCUAUUUCGAAGGCUUCUCUGACUUCGUGGAGUAUCUCAGAUCUCGGGAUGGGAUUCAAUCAUUAAGCACAUAUAAAAUUUUAGUAGGAAUGGUGGAUGAAAAUUAUUGGGCAGACAUUGAUAAUUUUCCAAGUAAAAUAGUUGGGUUGGGUAAUUUGAGUAUCAACGAAGAUGGAGAUUUUCAGGUUAAGUUCUUAAAUGGCAUUCAAGGACUGGUUUGUCAAUUCAUCGAUGCAAGAAGUUUAUGUGAUGUUUUGUCAUUAGAGAAUGCAACUGAACUGGAGCUCAUCAACAUUUACGAUUGCGAUAUCAUGGAGAGCUUGGUUUCAUCUUCUUGGUUAUGCUCUGCUCCACUACCAUUGCCAUCAUAUAAUGGUAUGUUUUCUGGUCUUAAAGAGCUUUAUUGUGGUGGAUGUAACAGUAUGAAGAAGUUGUUCCCACUUGUGCUGCUGCCAAACCUCGUAAACCUGGAAAGGAUUCUUGUUCGUGAUUGUGAGAAAAUGGGGGAGAUAAUAGGAACAACAGAUGAAGAAAGCAGCAGCUCCAAUUCCAUCACGGAAGUCAUUCUCCCAAAGUUAAGAACUCUGGAAUUGUUUAUGUUACCAGAACUGAAAAGUAUUUGCAGUGCAAAACUGAUUUGCAAUUCUCUUGAAGUUAUUACUGUAAUGGGUUGUAAAAAGCUGAAGAGGAUGCCAAUUUGUCUUCCGUUGCUUGAAAAUGGCCAGCCAUCUCCUCCUCAUUCUCUUAGAAGAAUGCGUAUAAAACCAAAAAAAUGGUGGAAUACAGUAGUGGAGUGGGAGCAUCCUAACGCGAAGGAUGUCCUUCGUCCCUUUGUUAAGUUUCGGUAGGAUGAGACUACUCUGCACUUAAUAUAAUAUAAUAUAGAAUAAAGGGUAAGCAUCAUCUUUUAUUUCUCUCUCUUUCUUCAAUUGAUUCUGUGCACACACCAUGAUAAUUUCUUUAUGUUAAUUAACAUCUGAUUGAUUGAACUCUUUAAGCUAUGAAAUAUUUCUUAUUUAUAUAGUGUGCUUACAAUUAACAUAAAUAACAUUUUUCAUUUUUUUUAUAUAUUUCAUUAUCUUUUAAGACUAUUGAAUUGUCAUAUUUUUCAAAAUGGUUAUGAGCAUUUUUUCCAAUUUGUUGGGCUUGGUGUUGCCCAAAUAGCUUUUAGUCUUAGUUGCUUUCCAAAGUUUUAACAUUACAGUUAAUUGCUCCAAUUCUUUUGCACAUUACCUUGCUUUCCCUAAAAGUUGGCCUGGCAAUACCUAUCAUCUUCUAGAUGAAAGCUAACACUUUUUUCCUCGCAACAGGAGACCUGCUGGGCAUCAGACCUUGCAUCCACACUUUUGAGUGGCACCGUCAAAAUCCCGUGCGUUUUUUUGCUGUUCUUCAUGGAGUUCCAUUGUCAACAUGCAAAUCUUUGCUUUUUAUUUCAUCUGGCUCAACCAUUAUUUGCACUCAGGAUGUUUAAUCUUAGGCCCUUUUUGAAUUGUUCUGGCAUCGUGCUAACAGCCUACUCCAAAUGGUUGCUCAGUUCGAUCUCAAUGCUUACACUGUUUUCAGAUUUACUCUUUAUGGUUUUCUUUUAGUGGCAACUCAGAAUCCAGAAGUAAUUCUCCUUAAUGUUUGAGAAAGAUCCUCCAGAUGGGAAUGAAUGGACUGAUUCGAAAUCUUUUUCUCUUAAAAGGGAUAGCAGAUAAGCUAAUGAUGUUGGAUUAUGAUGGAGAAGUUCGAUUCUGAGAUCUUUUGAAAGAGAGGCAUGUAUAUAGUGUUAAUUGGACUGCAAACUCGUUGACUGAUGUGUGGAGCUCGAAAAUGUAUGUCAUGUACAAAUUAUAUAAGAGCUCCAACGCAGCUUAAAUUAUGAUUAUUUCUCAGUUGGUUUUAAGUUUCAUUUCAAUACAUGCGCCAGUGCCUUUUUGCUUGUCUGCAUGCGGCAAGGGCAAAGAUAUUAUGAUAAACUCUGUGCUCCAUCACUAAACAAAGAUGUCAUUAUGUAUGAUGUGCAGAACAUGGUCAGAGUUAGGACAGAACCAGUUGAGGAGAAAAAUAGUGGAAUUGAAAGACGUGUUGGUCUAAAUAUUUCUGAUGAAGAUGAGGAGCUGCGCAUAGAGUGAGUGGUCGAAUUGAAAAAAGAAUUAAUGUAUUACAAUGCAUGUAAUUUUCCAAGUAUUAUUCUUUAUGCUUAACAAAUAAACUUUAUGUUUAUUCUUUGUCCUGUAUAAAUGAGUUUUCUCAAAUAAAUCGAGAUAUGAAAGGUUUUAACCAUACAUAUAGCAACCUCAAAAUAAAAAACAAACUUAGCUUCCACAAUGGAAGUAACAGUUAAAAAAGUUUUUUAUUUAAAAAUAUAUUAAUAUAAUAUAUAUUUUUAAAAAAAUUACUUUUAAUAUUAACAUAUUAAAACAAUUUUAAAACAUUAUAAAAUUUUUAAAAAAUAAAAAGUUUCAAAUCCACGGCUCAACCUCAAUAUUGGGCGGGGCAAUAGAAUUGUAACAAACCAAAUCUAAGCUAUCCAAUAAUAUGGUGCCAGGUCCACAACUAAACAACAGAGAUAAAAAGGAAAGAAUCCAGUGUUUCUGAGUACAACAAUAACCACAACCAACCAAUAAAGGAAAGAUACGUAAUUAUUCAUUCUAAUGGUUUAGCUUCAUAACAUUUUAUGUGCUUUUUUUUUAUUAGACAAUUUGAUUAUUUUUGUCUCUUUUUAUAAGAGGGGAGGAGGGAUAUGGUCAUUUGAACACUUGAUUAUUUUUUUUUUAUAUCUUUUUAAUAUUUUAUAUUCUAAUCUUAUAUUGUAUAUUUGCUUUACGAUAAUAAAUAAAUUCCUGAUAUUCUUUCCUUAUUUUAUUUUUAAAAAAAUACUUCUACAUAAACUUUAUGCAAAAGUUUCAAACAAAUCUUGUAAUUGAGUCAUGGAUGCUAUUGGAUUUAAUAAGAAUAUUAUUUUAAAUUUUUUUAUUAAACAUAUAAAUAAAACUUUGAAAAAAAAGAAAAAUUAAGUGAAACAAAUUUAUAACCAGACCAAAUCCAGUUGGGCAGAUCUGACCUAAGAAGCCCAACAUGCACGGGCCAUUAAAAAACCAAGCACAAACACGUGGGCCACUCAUCCGGGCCUCUUUAUUUUUUCCAAAAUUUGUAAGGGGCGGAUCCUUUUUUUUUAUAAACAAAUUAGAUAGAUGACUCAUUAUUUGUUGUGAUUGACAAAACAUUAUAUGUUAGCUUGGAAUCUUAACACCACUUUGAUGGGCGAAAGAUCGAGCCAUAAAAUAUUUUCUCAUAAAAAGUCAUUUUCAACACAUUUUCACUUAAAAAUAUUUAAUAAGCUACCUUUCAACUGGAAAAAAAAAAAAAAAACUCAUCUAUUAACUAACAAAACACAAAAAACAGCCCAAAAUCACUAAAUCAAAUUGAGUAGGAAUUUUUUUUCUUGAUCCAGAUUUGUUUUUUCAUGUAACAUUGAGAUUUAAAAUAACCAUCAUUAAAUUUCUCUCGUUCAACAUACAUAUCCAUUGACACCAAGUUCAAUCUUUUACGUUGAUGAAAUCAAUGUUAAUCUUAAUUUUCUCUCUCUUGAGCCGGAAUCUAAUCCCUCUCUAUCUCCUCUCUAAAGCAAACAUGUUUAAAGCAGGUGUGCAAUUAAAAGAAUUGCCGGAUACAGAUGAGUGGACAAAGAAUCUCACGAGAAUUUCACUUAUGCAUAACCAAAUUGAAGAAAUUCCCUCGAGCCAUUCACCAAGGGGUCCAAAUCUGUCAACCUUACUGUUAAGUUGUAAUUACCACUUGAGAUUUAUUGCAGAUUCUUUUUUUUUAAGCAGUUGUUUGGGCUCAAGGUUCUUGAUCUAUCUUAUACGAAUAUCGAAAAACUAUCAGAUUCUGUCUCUGAUUUGCUGACUCUCACUUCAUUAUUGCUCAUUGCUUGUGAUAAGCUAAGACAUAUACCAUCAUUGAAAAAGCUCAGGGCACUGAAGAGAUUGGAUCUCUAUCGUACUGCACUUGAAAAGAUGCCCCAAGGCAUGGAAUGUCUCUCCAACCUGAGGUAUCUUAAAAUGAAUGGAUGUGGUGAAAAGGAGUUUCCUAGUGGGAUAUUACCAAAACUCUUCUACCUACAAGUUUUUAUACUAGAGGACUUUAUGCCUAUUGCGGGUCAUAUGGAUAAACAAAUACUUGCUCCGGUGACAGUUAAAGGAAAAGAAGUAGCAUGCUUGAGGAAGUUGGAAACUUUAAAAUGCCAUUUUGAUGGUAACUCUGACUUUGUGGAUUAUCUCAUAUAUCGGGAUAAGACCCAAUCGCCAAGAGAAUACAAUUUUUUUGUAGGAGAGUUUGGGUAUGAUGAUUACGAUGUAAAAAGGUAUUAUAGAUGUAAAAGUGUUUGGUUGGGUGACUUGAGUAUAGACAGCGAUGGAGAUCUUGAGGGCAUUUUUCCAAAUGACAUUCAACAGCAGAUGAUUUUUUAUUGUGAUGCUGCAACAAGUUUAUGCAAUGUUUCCUCUCAAAUAAUACGUGCAGAAAAACUAGAGGUCAUCAACAUCAAGGAUUGCAGUAACAUGGAGGGCUUGGUUUCAUCUUCUUUGUUACGUAAAGAGAUGGAGGUUUUGAGGUCAAGCCCAUCUUCUAAAGGCAUAUUUUCUGGUCUUAAGAAGUUCUAUUGCUCUGGAUGUAAUAGUAUGAAGAAAUUGUUCCCUCUUGUCUUGCUGCCAUCCCUUGUAAACCUGGAAGUGAUUGAAGUUAGAUGGUGUGUCGAAAUGGAGGAGAUAAUAGGAACAAGAUCAGAUGAAGAAAGCAGCUGCAGCAGCAUCGAACCCAAACUUCCAAAGUUAAGAAUUCUAUAUUUGACUGAAUUACCAAAACUGAAAAGCAUUUGUAGUGCAGAACUGAUCUGCGAUUCUCUCCAACAAAUUGGGAUAACAAAUUGUCAGAUGCUGAAAAGGCUGGGAAUUCAUCUUCCGUUGCUUGAAAAUGGCCAGCUAUCUCACCCCCCUUCUCUUCGUGUAAUGGAGAUUCAUCCAAAAGAAUGGUGGGAGUCAGUGGUGGAGUGGGAGAAUCCCAAUGCUAAGGAGGUCCUUCGUCCCUUUAUUAUUUAAAUGAUGACUUUGCCCUUGAUGUAAUAUGCUAAGCAUCAUGUUUUUGAAAAAAGACCUUCGUUUGCAGCAGAAGAUAUUGUCAAGUUUUGUCUGGAGAAGAGUCCACUUAUAUUUCCUCGUGCCAACCAAGAAGAUGAAGAAGACGAACUUUUCUAUGAUGAAGCUGCAAUCUACUCUGUCCUUGAUGAAUCAAAAAGCAGAUCCAGAAAUAUUACAAAAUGUAGGUAAGAGGUCUACGUACAUGAUUGAAUUUGUAGUGGAAAAAAAGAUUGAAUCUCGCAGUAGAAACUUUUUAACCAUACACGCAGUACCUCAAAAUAAAAAACAAAUUUAGCUUUCGUAGUAAAGUAGCAGUUAAAUAAAAUAUAUCAAAAUAAUAUAUAUAAAAAAUUAUUUUUAAUUAGUUUUUGUCUCUUUUUGUAAGAGAGGAGGAGGGAUAUAUCUGGUCACAUGAACACUUGAAUUUUUUUUGUCUUGUUAAUAUUUUAUAUUCUAAUAUUAUAUUGCAUAUUUGCUUUACUUUAAUGAACAAAUCCCUUAUAUCCUCUUUAUUUUAUUUUUAGAAUAUAUUUUUACAUAAACUUUAUUUUUUUUUACACCGCAAUAUAUGUGAAAAUUUCAAACAAACCUACGACUUAAGUCAUAGAUUGGGUUUAAUAAGAAUAUUAUUUUAACUUUUGUUUAGCUAAACAUAUAAUAAACACUUUGAAAAAAAAAAAAAAUUAAGUGAAAAUAAAAUUAUAAAAAGACCAAGUGCAGUUGCACAGACCUGCCCUAACAAGCCCAACGUGCAUGAGCCAUUAAGAAACCAAGCACAAACACGUGGGCCACUCAUCUCAGGCCUGCACACUCGAGCCUUUUUAUUUUUUUUAAAAUUUGUAAUGGGCAGACCCUUUAUUUUGAUAAAAAAAAAGUUGGACAAAUGAUUCAUUGUUUUGUUGUGGUUGAUAACGCGUUAUUUGUUAGCUCAAAAUCCUGCCACCACUUUGAUGGGCCGAAGAUCAAGUUACAAAAUAUUUUCUCCUAAAAAAUCAUUUUCAACACAUUUCCACUUAAAAAUAUUUAAUAAGUACCCUUACAACAUUAAAAAAAAAAAAACUCAUCUAUCAACCAAAAAAACACAAAACAAUCCAAAAACACCAUAUCAAUCGAAGUAAGAAUUUUCUUUCUUGAUCUAGAUCUAUUUUUUCAGGCAACAUAGAGACUCAAAAUAACCACUAUCAAGCUUCUCUCAUCGAACAGAUCCCAUCGACAUAAAGUUUAAUUUUUUACGUGGUUGGAAUUAGUAUUAAUCUUGAUUUUCUUUCUCUUGAGUUAGAAUCUAGCUACUUCCUCUCUCUUUUUUUUAACACAAGGACUGAAAAAUAAAGAAAAUAAAAUUUCAUAUCAAAAAUGAAUUUUAAUAAUCUAUAAGGACUAGGAAUGUAUAAUCAGAAAAGUAGGAGAACCAAAGUUAACUUUUUUCACCAUCCAUUCUCUCUCUCUCUUUUUUUCCACUAUCUUUUGAUUUAAUCCUCGCUUAACAAUCUUACUUAAAUUGACACUCAAUUUAGUGCGGAAAGGGCUGAAUUAAAAAAAAAAUAUUGGAACGGAAAACAAAAAAGAAUUCUCGAUUUCUUGAGAUAGAAAAAACAGAACUAUUAUUAAAAUUAAAAAAGAAAAAACUGCACAGGCUUUUACCAUGUACCAGGAGAGAAAACACUAUAGAUUAAAAUAGUCUUUUAUCUCUCAGUUUUUUUUAAUCACUGAUUAUUUUAUUUUUAAUUUUAUCUUUAUAGAUUAUGUUGAUGGAGAUUUGAGGCUGAUAACUUGUUUUAAUUAACGUGUCAAGGAGUUCUCAAGGUCUAUAUAUAAAAAAGGCUUCAACGUUAAGUUAAUUUGACGUUUGACUUGAUAAAAUUUUGUUUAUUUUUUAAUUUAUAGAUUUGAUAUAAAAGAAAAAAAAAGUAAAUGAAAAACUUCAAAAAAGAUAGAAAGUUAUUAGUUGAUAAUUUUCAAACAAAAAAAAAAACGAUCAUCUUUGUGUUAAUGUAAAACUGGUGUGUAGAUUAGAUAUCAAAUCAUACUUAUAGAUCGAGGGCUAAAAAUAUAAAUUUGUAGAAGGGAGUUGGAAAAAUAAUAAUUUCCAUGGGUAUGGAAAAGUGCGAUCAUGAAAUGUUUUUAUUUUACUAUUAUUAAUGUGAGUAUUCGGGUUAGCUUGCACGUAUCUCGACUAAUCUCAUAAAUCCUAAAAUUAACAAUCAUAUAAGUCUCUAAUAAUCUUGAUGUUUGUAGAACUUAAACUGGUAAUUUCUAUAAAACAAAUUUAAAACUUAACUAAUUCAACUUUCACCUCUCGUUAUCAUGAGAUGUUUCGAAAGAGAGGGGUAUGCCGUUUAUUGUACUCCAAACUCAUUGACUGAUGAACCUCUUAAACAAAAGCACACCAUAUACUGUCAAUAAAAAUAGAAAUAUCAAUAAAAGUUUAUCAUGUAAAAGUCAUAAAUUUUCCAUCUUAAUUAAGCAAACUUGAUAAAUCUAAUUACACAAAUCUUACUUAAUACAUAUUAAAGUUUGUGAAGAUUGAAGACCUGGUAUUAAUUUUUGAGUUAUUCUAUAUUAAAUUAUAUUAUUUAAUACACUUAUAAAUAAAAAAUACUUUAAAAUUUUUAAAAAUAACAACAUUCACAUUCCCUUCCGCACUGUCAAAAUCACUCUAAAAGUAGUAGUGUUUUUUUUCCUUGGAAACAGCCUGGAUGCACUUUAAAAGUAUUUUAAUCACAACUUUCCACUCACAUGUCGGAUUGCUGUGAUUCUUGAUAUUGUUGUCAAAAUCGCGAGUUGACUCUUAAAAUCUUAUGAUUUUACGAGUCAACAUGUAUAUAACGUGUCAAAUCGGAUUAAAACUCGAAAUCGGUCAAACUCAGUUAAAAUCGAUAAAAUCGGACCGAUUUUACGAGUUUGACUGAUUUCAAGUUUUAACCCGCAAAAGUUAAUAAAUUUACUUAUGGCAUCUAGAAAAAAUUCUUUUGGUAAUAAGCUUGACGUGGGAUGACAACAUGGUAUAGAUAUUGAUAAGAAUUCUAGAAAAGUUCAGUGCAAGUAUUGUCAAAAAAUUAUCAGUGGAGGUAUUUUUCAUUUUAAACAGCAUUUGGCUUGAAUUGCGAUUUGGAGAUUCAAAUUGAUGAUAUUGGUGUUGGUACUUAGUAGGAGCACUAAUGUUCAUAAUAUUGGUGUUGGUACUAGUAGUGAUACUAAUAAUCAUCUUGAUGCUAAUGAUAUUGAUUAAUGUCUGAGGUAUAAUGAGGAAGAUGAAGGUAAUGAAGUUGGUUUUAGUUUACAUGACACACCAGCAAAUUAUUUGUUUGAAGUUUGUUAAUUAUUAGUUAAUGAAAAGUUGUUUGAAUUAUGUAUGAAUUUUUAUUUGAACCAUAUAUUUUAAGAUGCUUGAACUAUAUAUGAAUUUUUAUUUAAAGCAUGUAUUUUAAGGUGCUUGAACUAUGUAUAAAUUUUUAUUUGAAGCAUGAAUUUUUUUUAAUGUAUUUUAAAAUUCCUUACGAUUUUACGAUCUGUUUUUACGAUCCGAGUUUGUUUUGUAUUUUCCGUGCCGUGUCAAAAUCACGAUUUUAACAACCUUGAUUCUUGAUGCGUUAUCUUGUUUGGGAACCGUUGUUUUCAAAAAUUUGAUUUGUUUUAAUUUUGUUUUUCAUCUUAAACGUAAAAACAGGUGCCAAACAAAUACCUCUCAAAUUAUAAGAAUAUAUUUGCGAUUAUAAUAGCGGUUACGGUUCAAAAUAUUUUUGUUUAGAAAUAUAUUAAAAUAAUAUUUUUUUAAAACAUAAUUAUUUUCAAAAAAAAUAAAAUUUUAAAAAAUGCAGUUAGACAGUGAAGUUUCCUACCGCAAGGAAGCUUCCUCUUAUUGUUUGAAGCUAAUGCUUGAUUGCGUUCGAGGGGUUUCUACCCCCAGAAUAUGAAGUCAUUUUCUAAUUAAGGCUUUCUGCCCUCUCUCAAGUAAACUGAAAAACGACAACAUACAUUUUCUAGCCCAGCAGUGGUUCCACUAGCCUUCUGCUAUCUGCCUAGCUGUGGUAUAAAAACAAUUUUAGUCCAUAUUUGAAGGAAUAGCCUCCUGUUUCUUCAAUCUUCUGCUGCUGUGAUUAUUAAAGCCUAUGCUACCUUGGAAUUGAAUUUCCAAGGUAUGAUGGCGUCAAUCUCCAUAGAUAGUUGACCAAGAAGUGGAGGAAUGCCUUAGAGGACCUGAGACAAUCAAGAGUUGGGCAAGAUGCCAUGGAGGAAGAGGUAUUCCGGAUACUGAGAUUUUGUUAUACGCACUUCAAGGAUUCAGCAUUCCAACAAUGUUUGCUGUGUUGUGCAUUAUUUUCACCAACCAUAUCUCGAAUCCAUGACUAACAACGCAAAAUCGAUGCUAUAAGAACAUUAUAUUUAAACAAGCAUAUUAGAAAACAAAAACAUAUAAACAUGAAUUUCCAAGGUAUGAUGGCGUCAACCUCCAUAAAAUUCAAUAUUUAAAAUAAAAAUCUAAACUUAAAUAAAAUAUUAUAAUUGUGGAGUGUCUAAACAUCUAAUAAAAUAUUUUUAUUCUUAAAAUAUUUGUGGAAAACAAGAAAACUAAUUUAGGGUUUAAUUGAAUAAUUAAUUAAUUCACAUACGAUUUUAUUUUAUUUUUAGUGACAACUAAUUUCAUCAAACACCAAUAACCUGAUUUUUGAUCAUAGGAGUUUGAGACAUGGCCCAUGCUACAACAAUGUUGGGACCACAGUCACAUUGUAACAAUAAUGUUUGGACCAUUUAAGAUUGUACCCUACUACUUCACUCGAACUUUAUUUUGUAUUUAUAAUUAAUAAGGAAAAAGCAUGAUUGGGUUGAAAACCUUUUUAUGCUCGGUCGAAGGCUUUUGGGACUCUAUUUUCACAUAUUGUGGUAUAAAGUAUAUAUUAAAACUGUAUUUUAGAAAUAAUUUUUGUAAUUUUUAAUAUCACCAUAUUAAAAUUAUUGAAACAUUCUUAAAAAAUUAUCAAAUUAAUAUUUUCUAGAGACAAAUUAAAAAAAAAACAUUUAAAAGCUUAAGCGCAUUUCCAAAACCGGAAAACAUCAAAAGAUACACUUAAAGUAGUAGUAAUGUUCUUUUUUCUUGGAAACAGCCUCCACACACUGUAGUAUUUUAAUCAUUACUUUCCACUCUACAAAUUAGCCUCGAACGAGGAUUUCAAAAAAGGAACUCCUAGAAAUUAGCCACAUGGUUAGUUAUUAAAUCUGAGCAGUAAAUUAAAUUUCUAGAGCCGAAUCAAGCCUAACAUGAAUUCAUAGAAAGAAAGAGCGUUUAUUAUUAUGAAAUACUUCUUUUUUAUAUAAUGUGCUUACAAUUACAUAAAUAACAUUUUUCAUUUUUUUUAUUUAUUUCAUUAUCUUUUUAAGACUAUUCAAGAAGAAUCUUCGACGUGACAUAGCACUUUCACCAUAAAUGGAAGGAAUUGCAGAAGCUAUUGCUAGGGAAUGUUCUGGUUUGCCACCGGAAAUUAUUACAGUGGCAGGAAGCUUGAGGGGAGUGGAUGAUUUACAUGAAUGGAAUAAUACAUUGAAUAAAUUAAGAGAAUCAGGAUUUAGGGACAUGAAUGAGAAGGUAUUGAGGGUUAGUUAUGAUCGGCUAGGUGAUUUAACACUACAAAAAUGUCUCUUGUACUGUGCAUUAUUUCCCGAAGACUUUAUUUUCUUGACUUUUUAAACAGCAGCCUGGAUAAACUUAAAGCAAUGUUCUUUUUCUUAGAAACAGCCUAGAUACACUUAAAGUAUUUUAAUCAUAACUUUCCACUCACAUAUCGGAUUUCUGUGAUUCUUGAUGCGUUGGAAAGGUAUCGUAAAGGGCUACAAGUUUAGUCUCUGAUGAAAAAGGAGGACUGCCUACUUUUGAAAAAGGGGGCUGCCUCCUCUGUAAAGAGGGCUAUUUGGCAUAAGAAGACGUGUGGGAAUUGCACUAGAGAGAGGGAAAAAAAGAGAGCACAGAUGAGGAAAGGAAUGACUAAUACAGUGAUGGGUAACUAAAUUGUUCAGAUUUCUAAUUAUUCUAACUCUUUUGUUUUAUCAUUCUCAAUUUGUUGUUGAGAAGUAUUCUUCUCCGAAUUUAUGCAGUUUAUGGAUUCAUUCAUGUUUUUUCUAUUGAAUGGAUUAAUUUUUGGAUCAUUUAUUUACCUGUUUUGAUUUAAUUUCUUUGCUUUUGGGUGGAAUCAGGUUUCUACCACACAGAAUGUGAAAUUAUUUUCUUGAGGCUUUCUGCCCUCUCUCUAGUAAACUAAAAAACGGCAACAUACAUUUUCUAGCAGGCAGGUAACAGUACGCUGGAGAUAUCUACUGCUGCUCAAAGUCCAAACAACAACGGUAUUGCCAACACUGUUAUGCCGCAAUCAAAAAAACAUAAUUGUUUUUAUAUUUAAAAUUAUGUUUGAGUGUAUUUAAAAAUCUGUUUAUCUUGGAAAAUUCUGAAAUUGUUUGAUUUACCGGAACUGAAAAGUAUUUGCAGUGCAAAAAUUGAUUUACAAUUCUCUUAGAGAUAUUACUGUAAUGCAUUGUAAGAAGGUGAAGAGGAUGCCAAUUUGUCUUCUUUUUUAUCUCUCAAUGGAACACUCAUGACAUCAAAUAGAAUAACUUCAAGAAAAACUAAGAACGAAUACGAAGCUUACGAAUACUUAAGAGACAUAUUCUAAAAUUUAGUUUAUUGUUUACCUUUUAUUUUUUAUUUUUUAUUUUGAUCUAAAAUUUUAUUUUAUUUACCUUUAGUUCAUGAGUUUGAGAUGAAAGAAAAAACAAAUCACACAAAAAAAAACUUGGAAGAAGAUAAAAAGUUAUUGAUCGACAACUUUCCGGCAACAAAAACACAUACAGUAUCAAUGGAAAACUGGUGUGCAGAUUGGAUAGCAAAUCAAGCUUCAUAGUAGAUGUUGAAGUUUUCCACUGCAGUGUUGGGUUGGUUGCCAUUAAUGUGCAACAACCAUUGACAAUUGCAGCAGCUGCAGCUAGAGUUGCACCAACCAUGUGCACUCAUCCAAGAUGUCAAAGGUUGGCAGCCACCAUUGUUGAAGAAGAGCUGGAGUUGGCAGCCACCUUUGUUGAAGAAGAGCUGGAAUUAGCAGUCACCAUUGUUGACAAAAGAGCUGAAAGAGCUGCCAUGGAUGCCUAUAAAUAGAGGCAUACAUUAGAGAUCAAAAUGAGAGAGUUAAGAGAAGGAGAGUGUAGAGCCAAAGAUGUGAGAGAUGUAGGAGAGAGUGGGCUGCCAAGGCACCAGCAGUAGCUGCCAUUGCAGCACUGNNNNNNNNNNNNNNNNNNNNNNNNNNNNNNNNNNNNNNNNNNNNNNNNNNNNNNNNNNNNNNNNNNNNNNNNNNNNNNNNNNNNNNNNNNNNNNNNNNNNNNNNNNNNNNNNNNNNNNNNNNNNNNNNNNNNNNNNNNNNNNNNNNNNNNNNNNNNNNNNNNNNNNNNNNNNNNNNNNNNNNNNNNNNNNNNNNNNNNNNNNNNNNNNNNNNNNNNNNNNNNNNNNNNNNNNNNNNNNNNNNNNNNNNNNNNNNNNNNNNNNNNNNNNNNNNNNNNNNNNNNNNNNNNNNNNNNNNNNNNNNNNNNNNNNNNNNNNNNNNNNNNNNNNNNNNNNNNNNNNNNNNNNNNNNNNNNNNNNNNNNNNNNNNNNNNNNNNNNNNNNNNNNNNNNNNNNNNNNNNNNNNNNNNNNNNNNNNNNNNNNNNNNNNNNNNNNNNNNNNNNNNNNNNNNNNNNNNNNNNNNNNNNNNNNNNNNNNNNNNNNNNNNNNNNNNNNNNNNNNNNNNNNNNNNNNNNNNNNNNNNNNNNNNNNNNNNNNNNNNNNNNNNNNNNNNNNNNNNNNNNNNNNNNNNNNNNNNNNNNNNNNNNNNNNNNNNNNNNNNNNNNNNNNNNNNNNNNNNNNNNNNNNNNNNNNNNNNNNNNNNNNNNNNNNNNNNNNNNNNNNNNNNNNNNNNNNNNNNNNNNNNNNNNNNNNNNNNNNNNNNNNNNNNNNNNNNNNNNNNNNNNNNNNNNNNNNNNNNNNNNNNNNNNNNNNNNNNNNNNNNNNNNNNNNNNNNNNNNNNNCCAUCUGAAAUGCGAUUUGGACGAUUUCAGACUUGUUUCCAGCUAAUUUGAUCGUUCCGGAUGCAAUGGUAUGGUCCGAUCGUUGAGGUUUGAGACUGAAAAUGGUGGUGGUGAAUUAUUGAAAGAGAUUGCCCGAUGAAGAAGCAUCUGAAGGUCAUCAUGGUGGUCGACGGAGAUGAAGAAGGAGAAAGUGCACAUGUUUGCCCAAUUACAUGUGCUGAACUGCUAAGUGGGGAGAAAUUUUUAAUUGCCUUGAAGGAAGGAAAAAUUGGGACACUCUGGACACCCGAUCAUGUGGACGAUUUGAGGUGGAGAGUGGAAAUUGAUGAAGACCAAUCUUGACGAAUCUAAGAACUGGUAGUCUCACCAGAUGUUGAGAAAUCAGGUAUAAAACCGGGAUACCCCAGAUCACUUGUAAAGGAAAGCCGCAACAAAGCUAGCAAAUGGUUGUAUAUACAAAAAGGUAGUACGGUGGAUAGAUACGUUCUAAGAAGUUCUGUCUAGGAGAUUGGGUUUUAAGCGGGACCAGUGUGACCCCUCCAAAUCUUUCUUGGGAAAUUGCUUAGUUGAAGGAUCAUCCACACAGUACUAUUUUUGUAUAUGUAAUAGUUUGUAAUGAAACUGUUGAAGACUAGCAAGAUGAUGGCACAAAGGAACAGUUGGGUUCUGUAUGUUCAAGGAUCUGAUGGAGUGGUGAUUUCUCCAAAGAAGUUAGAUUCGGUGACUGUAAUUUCUCGAAGGGAUAAUUAAUGAAGACCCUGAUAAUGGAAGAGAAAUACAACAAGGGGAUAAAGAUUGGCACCCUAUUUUGACUUGGAUAAAUGUUGUGACAGGAUGAGCUGCUGUCAAACAUAAAAGCAAAGAAUAGGGAGAAAUCUGGAGAACCGAAAUUGCACGAGAACACACGAAGAUUGUGCAGGAGUACCCGAAGGAUCCAACGAGGUACUGUAAUGAGACAACAGAUGCAAGGAGAAAAAGAGUUCCCGGAUGAAGCUCAGAGCAGAGACUGUGUGAAAAAGUUGUACAACAGGAAAUCUCUUGUGCUCUUGAUAAAGGCAACAAGCGAGGACCUUUCCAAUGCAUGCAAGGAUGGAAAGAUGAGCUGUUGCAGAAGCACCUAAUUAAAGGGGUGCGACCGCCUAUAGAAAGGCGAAGACACCAAAGAGAGUUGGUGUGGGUGGAGCUAUCAAGCAGAAAGACAUAGAAGCUCCAAACAUAGAAAAUGAGAUGGAGGAUUGCGAAGAGUGCACCGCAACUCUCUCUUUUUAUGUGAUCAGUGGCAGUGAUCUCUCCCAAGUCCACAUGGUGGUAGAGAAUCUUGGAGCCACUGGAGACAUCCCCGAUGAAGGAGGAUGUGACCGCUUUAUGACGGACGGAGACACCUCAGGCAGAAGGUGUGUGGGCCAUGAAACGAGCAUAAGUACAAACCGCCGCAUGACGACAAGCGGAGACACCUCGGAUGGAAGGUGUGAGGACCAUGAUAUGAGUCCAUGAUCAGACCGUCUCAUGACGACAGACGGAGACACCUCGGGAGAAGGUGUGAGGACCAUGAUAUGAGUCCAAGUUCAGAUCGUCUCAUGAGGACAGACGGAGACACCUCGGAUGGAAGGUGUGAGGACCAUGAUAUGAGUCCAAGUUCAGACCGUCUCAUGACGACAGGCNNNNNNNNNNNNNNNNNNNNNNNNNNNNNNNNNNNNNNNNNNNNNNNNNNNNNNNNNNNNNNNNNNNNNNNNNNNNNNNNNNNNNNNNNNNNNNNNNNNNNNNUGAUAUGAGUCCAAGUUCAGACCGUCUCAUGACGACAGGCGGAGACAUCUCGGAUGGAAGGUGUGAGGACCAUGAUAUGAGUCCAAGUUCAGACCGUCUCAUGACGACAGGCGGAGACACCUCAGGAGAAGGUGUGAGGGCCAUGAUAGGAGCCCAAUUUCAGAACGCCCUAAAGACCGAUGUGAUGGCUGGAUAUAAGUGGACAAGUGUAUAGCCAAUGAAGAGGCUAUGAUGAGUAUGGAGACAAAUGCAGGAUUGACUUUCAUGGAUAUUGCCCCCAUGCUAAAGAUCAAUGAGCUAGAAGACAUUUGCCUUGGACAAUAAGUGGGUGACUUGUGGAGCAUUAAGACGCGGCUGCUAUGAAGGAGCAGAGGGCAUGCGUAGGUUCCGGGAACAAGUUGACUCUUGUCAAGGUGGUGAGCUCAGUAAUGACAUUGUAAUACUUAGAGUAUGAAGAUAGAGAUGGAUCAACCUUUAAUGGGCUGUCCCCAUGGUUAAAAGGGAGAGCCACCUGGACUCUUGAGACUAAGAGCGGGAGACUCACGGAGAAGUAAGGCGUGGUUCCUAGGAAGGAACAGAGGGCAGACGCAACUCCGGGAUGAGUAGACUCUUGGAAGAGUGGUGAGCUCGUGAUCACAUUAAAAUACUCAAUGACUGUCGCACUUGGGAAUAUCCGUUUGAGGGGGUGUUGUAAGCCUUGGUGUAAGGCUUGAUAAAUCAUUUCGGGCCAAGCAUGGUUGAUAUGCUUGAAGGGGGAUGUUGUUCCAGAGACAAGUGUUAACACUCUUCAGAUGAGUUGUGACAAACCAUCUGGUUGAAGUGAUCCUUUGGAGUGAGCAAAGGGGUGUUUGGAUGACUCUGGUGAUUGAAAGGUUUGGCAAGUACAUGUAAACUUAGCCACAGACGCUCUCAGAAUGGUAAGCUUGGAAGAGCUGCAGAAUGCAAGCAUGUGCUGAAGAAGCAAGAGGAUAGUUGCCCCACAUGAAUGGCAAAGGGGGUGAUUGUUGGGUUGGUUGCCAUUAAUGUGCAACAACCAUUGACAAUUGCAGCAGCUGCAGCUGGAGUUGCACCAACCAUGUGCACUCAUCCAAGAUGUCAAAGGUUGGCAGCCACCAUUGUUGAAGAAGAGCUGGAGUUGGCAGCCACCUUUGUUGAAGAAGAGCUGGAAUUAGCAGUCACCAUUGUUGACAAAAGAGCUGAAAGAGCUGCCAUGGAUGCCUAUAAAUAGAGGCAUACAUUAGAGAUCAAAAUGAGAGAGUUAAGAGAAGGAGAGUGUAGAGCCAAAGAUGUGAGAGAUGUAGGAGAGAGUGGGCUGCCAAGGCAGCCAGCAGUAGCUGACAUUGCAGCACUGAGAAGAGAGAAAUAGAGUGAGGUUGAGAGUUGCUAAAGAGGGGAUAAUUCCUCCUCUAUUGUUGUAAAUCUUGUUCUCUCCCUAUAUAAUUCAAUGGCUUCUCCCGUGGAUGUAGGCGGUUUGCCGAACCACGUUAAAUAUUGUGUCAGUGUGCUUAGCCUCCAAUGGGCAAAUAUCAGAACAUCACCGGUCGGAAUUCCCUACAUGCAGUACUGAAUCUCCCUCUGGUUGUUUGAAGCUAAAGCUUGAUUGCGUUCCUGGGAUUUUGAUGAUGAGUCUCUAUGAAAGUGCAUUCUAUCACUGGAAUAAAAUGCUAAAAUGUGAAUAAAAAUAAUAGAAAUUAAACAGACAAGUCAAGGCCCCGGAGUCGUGAAAAUUCACUUUGAACCAGCCUCCACACACUUAAAGUAUCUUAAUCAUAACUUUCCACUCACAUAUCGGAUUGCUGUGAUUCUUGACGCGUUGGAAAGGUAUCUUGAAGGGCUACAAAUUAGCCUCUUAUGAGGAUUUCAAAAAAGGAACUCCUAAAGCAUGUACGUGGCUGCCAAAAAAAAGUCCUAAAAUCUAGGCAAUUUGUUUGUGACACAACGGGGAAUUUGUAAAUUUGUUGUCCACUUGCAAAAUUGAACAGAGUUGACAUAAGAAUCCAGAAGUUAUUGGUGACAAAGGAUCCGAGGAAAAGUGAGUUCAACUGUUACAUUUUGUUUAUAUUAUCUUGUUGCACUAAAUCAAGAAGUUUACUAGACUUAUUACUCUGUAAAUUUGCUUUCUGAGUGCUGAGCAUGUGAUUGGAGAGAUUUGAUUCUCAUAUAAUUGUUGCCAGCUUAUUUGUGAGCAAGAAGUAUUAUUGAAUAGAAAUGCUUUCAUUUUUUAUUUUCAGCUUGAAAAUGAAUUGAACAUUUAUUACCUGAGUUUUCUUCUCCAUUUUAUUUAAUUUAAGAAGCAUUUCAUGAUCCUUUUUUUUCUGACUUUAUUAAGUUUUUUCAUGAUAAUUUAUCAAAAAAAUUUAGCAGGAAUCCUGCAGGUCAGAAUUCAUUCCCAUCAAUAAGAUGGAGUAGUAUGAACAAUUUAUUCGUUUAUUUUUGGUUUCUGCUAACGAUUUAUUUCAUGAUUAAUAUCGAUUUAUUUUCACUUUCUAGUAUACCAUUGUUAUUAGUUUGCGGUGUGGCAUAUAAUUUUUUUAGAUCAGUGUUACUUCAAUGGUGGCGUCGAAGUAUACCUUCUGCCAUAAUAUUUAAUAGCAAUUUCUAUGAUAAUCUCAGAAUUUCCAAUCUAGCUUUUGCACCCUUCACAUUUUGAUAAUACCUAGCUUUUAAGUUUUUUAAUAUUUUUUUAUUUUUGACAUCAAAUGAUCCUAAAGCAAAAUAUAUAUAUAUAUAUAUAUAUAUAUAUAUAUAUAUAUAUAUAUAUAUAUUAAUUUAUUUUAUUUUUUUUCAAAAUGGUUGUGAGCAUUUUACCAAUCUGUUGGGGGUGAUGUUGGUGGGCUUGGGCUAGGAGCAUGUUAUUUUUACUCCUGGGCUAUUGGCGAGGCUUGAGACUGCUACCUUUUCUUUUCGUACCCGCGCUGCCCCUCCCUCUCCAAAAAGUCGCUCAAAAUACAGAUUACGAAAUCACAGCUAUUGCUUGGAAUUGAAUGCAUGAGUUGAAACCGUCGGAGAACACCAGGCUAAGCUCCAAACUCAUCGCCACCGGCAUGCUCUCCAGCAUAAUUCAAAACAGUUUUCUAAAUUUUACAUUCUAUUUGUGUACUCUAAUUUUUCUCCAAUAUCUCUUAUCAAAUGGGUUCUGCUCUUAGAUGGUAUGAGCGAGACUUUUGGCAUACAGAAGCUGGGAGUUCCUGUCCAAGUUAAGGGAUGCAAGCUGAUUCCUACAAACCGAUCAGAAAAGAUUUGUCUAUAGAUGAAGUUUUCUAUUUACUUUGCAACAACCCUUAGCAUUGACAAUAUUAUUCUCUCUGUAAUUCAGUCGGUAUAUACUCAUAAUAUUAUUCUGUCGGUAUAUACUGACAGGAUUACGGAUGAAAUAGUAUCCGUUGGUAAUUAUCACCGCAAUUUACCGACAUAAUUAUUUCAUCGGUAAUUCCAUUGGUUUUAGACGAAUUUCUGAUAGUGAUGUUGAGUAAUUCGUAUGAAAUUAUCGGAUUGAUUGUUUAUUAAAGAGAAUAGCCGGAUGUUGAAUAAUUUAUAUGGAAUUACCGGAGUUAUUGGCUAUUAAGAGUAUAGCUGGAUGUUGAGUAAUUUGUAUAGAAUUACCGGAUUGAUUGGCUAUUAAAGAGAAUAGUUAAAUGUUGAGUCAUUCGUAUGGAAUUACUGGAAUUUAUUUCACUAUGAAAGAGAAUAGAUGGAUGUUGAGUAAUUCAUAUGGAAUUACUGGAAUUAUUGGCUAUUAAAAAAGAUUAGUCGGAUGUGGAGUAAUUUAUAUGGAAUUACCGGAUAUUUAUUGGCUACCAAGAAAGAUUAGCCGGGUUCGAGAUAAAUUUUAUGAAUUAUCAAAUUUAAAAUUAAGCAAUAAGUGUUGGUUGUUGAUUUCCUCUAAGUUUAGGAUUGAUAAAAUUAUGAAUGGCCUUUUGAUAUUGGAAUGCAGUAAGUAAGUUAGUGAUGAAAGGUAAUUUUAUAUAUUUUAAAGAAUUGCAAACAUAACUAGGUAUUUCAUGAGAUAUUUCUAAAGUGUUGGUUGAUCUAUUCCAUUGUCGGUCCUGCUUUGCCAGCAUCAGUCCUGCUUUGCUCAACCAUUAUUUGCCCUCGGGAUGUUUAAUCUGAGGCCCUUUUUGAAUUGUUCUGGCAGCGUGCUAAUAGCCUACUGCAUAUGGUUGCUCAGUUCGAUCUCAGUGCUUUUAGGUUUUGCUCAGUUCAUGUUAUGACCCGCGGCACCGCGCGGGCCAUUCACCUAGUACAUUCAAUUUGUGUACUCUAAUUUGUCUCCAAUGUCUCUAACCCCUUGUCAAAUACUGACAUGUAAACUGCUUGCAUGGUUAUCAAUAUCUUUCAAGUGAGUGUUGGAUAUAUAGCUUAAGAUAAAAAAAAAUUUCCGUUUUUAUUUAUUUUUCAUUUUUUUUCUUAAUGUUUGAGAAAGAUGCCUACAGAUGGGAAUGAAUGGACUGAUUCGAAAUCUUCUUCUCUUGAAAGGGAUGGCAGAUAAGCUAAUGAUGUUGGGUGUGAUGGAGAUUCAUCUCAACCAACAGAUCCAUUGUGUCUUGACCAUGGAAGAUAUAUAUAUAUUAUGAUCAACUCUGUGCUCCAUCGCUAAACAAAGAUGUCAUUAUGUGUGAUGUGCAGAACAUGGUGGAAAUGAAAGACGUAUUGGUCUGAAUAUUUCUAAUGAAGAUGAGGAGCUGCAUAGACUUCUGAUUUUAGACAUACAAAAGCUGAUUCUUACAAACCGAUCAGACAAGAUUUGUCAAUGGAUGAAGUUUCCUAUUUACUUUGCAACAACCCUUAGCAUUGACGGGGGAGGAGUGAGAGGCAUCAUUCCUAGCCUAGUCCUUGCCGCUCUUGAAGCUAAGCUCUAGCUAGGUUCUUGCAUAAAAAACUUACGCAGCGUGGGCCACUUUUCUUGGCUUUUUGCUCAGAUGAUUUUUGGGUUUUUUUAAAAAAUAUUUUUCAUGUGUUUACAUUUUCUUGGCAGCUUCUUCGAAGUUUCAACAUUGGGGUGGAUCCACACGUUAACUUUUCAUAUCUUAUAAUAUAAUAUGGAGAAGUGGUGGUUUUUUUAUAAAAAAAUAUUGAGACAUGGAGAAACAGACGACCAUACAAUAAGAGUCGGGAGGCCGAAUGUAUUGGGGAAGCCACCUCUCUGUUAAAAAAAAGGCAUAAGCGUGUGCUCCUGCGGAGAAGGAGAAGAACGGGACCUGCGGCUGAAAAGAAGAAGGAAAUGGGGGCGCCGGCUGGAAUGGGAAGAAGAAGGUGCUGGAACAAGGCUUAGGGAGGUGACGAGGGAGAAGAUUGUGUCAGUUUUGGGAGAGAAAAUGGAGUGGGGAGCAGCUGUGGAGAGGGGAAGGAAAAUGGUGAAAUGGCGUGGAGGAAAGGUUGAAGAUGAUGCUGCCGUGGCUGUGUCGAGAGGAGGAAGCAACCGGAAAUUAAAAAGGGGGGGGGGGCGGCUGUAAGAAGAAGAAGAUUAAGAUUUUUUAGGGUUAGGUUUUUUUUUUUUUUUUUUUGUCAAAAUUGCCCCCCUUGCUUAGCUGAAAAUGAAGGCUAUUUAUAGGCAAAAUAGUUUUUUCGGGCUUCAAAAUUGGUCCCUCAAGUUUUGUGUUUGGCCCCCUAAUUUCAAUCAAUUCACUUGGUAAAAAUUAAAUUGGGUCUCUUAAAAUUCUGAUUUUUUAAUUAAGUCCAAAUUAAGCCCCCAAACUUAAUUUUUCACCAAUUAAGCCCUCAAAUUAAUUUGACCCGCUUAAAGUAUAAUUAAGUCCUUGCACUUAAUUAAAUCCUUCAAUUGGACCCAAAUUAAUUCUUGAACAUAAUUAAAAUUCAAUUUGGCCCAUGAUUAAAUCAAAUUGGCCCAUUAAAAAUUUAAUUAUGUCAUUGGACUUAAUUCUUAUGCAAAUUCGUCCAAUAAUCAUUUAAUUUGACCUUUGAAUUUGCAUUUUUUCUAUUUUUGGGCGUAACAGCGUACACUUGGGCCUUGAGAUUCUUCCGAAAAUUGCAUCUUGAUUUUCGCCUAUUUUGCAGCCUUUCUUGGUCGGCUUUCUCCGCAUUUCCAGCCUUUAUUAUAUUUUUUAUUUUUUAUUUUUUUUGGGAAAAAAAUGAAUUUUGGGGAAUCACCCAAAAUUGGGUGAUGACAAUGUUUUUUUUGUUUUUUAUUUUUUAAUUGAUUGUUUUUAUUUUAUCUUUUAAUAUCGAAUUGAUUUGAAAAUAGACUAUAUUAUUUAUUUUUAUUUGCUUUCUAUAGAAUUAUCAAAGUUCUAAAUAAAUAUUGAAUUUAUAAAAAUAUUUUCAGCCAAUGAUUUUUGUAAAAAGUAAAGCCAUGUUUUACUGGUCUUCUAAGUUAAUUUUAAAUCUAUAAAAUCAAUCAAUUUAAAUUAUAUAGUUUAAUUAAAGAUUUGAAUUAGAUAAAAAGCUAAAUAAAGAGAUAUUAAUAAUAUUGCCAACAAACUUUUUUCACUCUAAACAUUCUUUUUUUAUAUUUUUUUUAAAAAAUUAAUCCAGCACGGAAAAACACUAGGUUUUGUUCAUUAAAAGUAAGGAUGGAGUCUUUGACCGCGUGUGCCUCUAAUCAGCAACAGAUUGGUAACGGCAACGAUUGAAAACCUUUAAUUUGUCUUCUAAUUUUUUCCCUAUUAGUAAUUGUUACGUAAUCAGAUUCGCUUCAUGUUCAAUAAUUGUUUUUUAUUUUUUUAAAUUUAUUUAUUUUAUUUUUAAUAUCAAUAUAUUUAAAUUAUAAAAAAAUCUAUUUAUCUUUUUAAAAAAACAACUAAAAACAAAAGCAAUCACCUGCUCUUAAUUAAUCACAUAUCUAAUAUUUAAAAACAUUGUUAAAGCACACGUUUUUCAAAAACUUUGAAUUUUUUUUCUUUUUGAAUUUUUUUUUUUUUUAUGAAUGAUGAAAAUAUUCCUUUAAAUCAACAAGGAUAUUUUUAUUAAUUAAUAUUAAAAUUACUUGCAUGAUGCUUUUGGGUUAAAGAUGCUCAAUGUUUGGAUUUGGGUCGGUUUGAAAUGGUAUUGCCGAUUCCAUAUUUCAAAGAAAAAUCGAAGCCUAACAUGAAUUCAUAGAAAGAGCGUUUAUUAAUAUGAAAUAUUUCUUUUUUAUAUUGUGUUCUUACAAUUACAUAAAUAACAUUUUUCAUUUAUUAAUUUAUUUAUUUCAUUAUCUUUUUAAGACUAUUGAAUUGUCAUAUUUUUUUUAAACUCGAUAGAUAAAUAAUUAUAAUUUGAAGUUUGAUUAAUAUUAUAUUUUCAUCCUAUUGAGUUUCUCCAAGAUAAAAAUCCAAAAAAAAACACUAUAUUGAUUUAUCAUUGAAGUAACCUAAUAAAAUAACAUAUGUAUUCACCAGUACAAAUCAUCUUAUAUCAUUAAAUAGCAAUAAAUUAUUCUUUUAAAAUAUAUAAUACAGAUUAAAAAAAUAUCGAAGUUUUCUACUAGGGUUGAUGAUGAAUCUCAAGGUUGAAUUGGUUCUUAUGAAGUUUUCUACUAGUGCUAAGUUAUGAGUUCAAGGAAGAGAGACAAAAAGUGAAAGGGACAAUUGUGUCGAUUGUUCUCUUGAUCUGAGCUUAUUCUGUAUCAUUUUGUUGGUUGCAUUAAUUAUACCUUCACCUCCAUACGCAACUCCUCUUCAUCUCUUAAUGUUAAUAAAAAUGUAAGAAUUUAGGAACAUUUUCACAAUGAAGAUUAAUUCAUCUCCAUAGCAGAAUACAGGAAAUAGAAAAUUAAAUCAAUAAAAGUAAGGUAUUUUAUCGCCAAUGAAUUCAUCUCUUCGAACAUUCUUGAAUUCUGGUCAAUUCAAAUCACAACAAACAUCGUAAACAUGUCAGAAGUAUUCCUCUACCACAGCAGUGAGAAGAUCAAAUGAGGAAGGCUAAGAUUCUUUAUUAAAUGAACUGAACAUACAUUUUUCUGUUGGAUGAGUUUUGGUUUCUAAACGUGAAACUGCCAUCGUAAGCACUAGCUAAGGAAGUUAGGAUAAGCUUUUCUGGUAAUUAUAUCACAUUUUUCUGCUACAAUAAUGCUCUUUAUAUUCUCUGCUACUAUUGCUUAUAAUCUUUUGCCUCUGGUAUCUUUUCCAACCUGUUUGAGGGAUGUUUUCAGGAGUUGAACAGAGUUGACAUAGAAAUCCAGGAGUUAUUGGUGACAGAGGAUCUGGAUCCUUUUCGAGGGAAAGUGAGUUCAACUGUUACAUUUUGCUUACAUUAUCUUGUUGCACUAAAUCAAGAAGUUUACUAGACUUAUUACUCUGUAAAUUUGCUUUUUAAGUGCUGAGUAUUUUAUAUAAUCAUGUAAUUGGAGAGAUGAUUCUUAUAUAAUUGUUGCCAGCUUAUUUGUGAGCAAGAAGUAUUAUUGAAUAGAAAUGCUUUCAUUCUUUAUUUUCAGCUUGAAAGUGAAUUGAACAUUCAUUACCUGAGUUUUCUUCUCCAUUUUAUUUGAUUUACAAAGCAUUUCAUGAUUUUUUUUCUGACUUUAAUAAGUUUUUUCAUGAUAAUUUUAGGAGUCCUGCAUGUCAGAAUUCAUUCCCAUCAAUAAAAUGGAGUAGUAUGAACAAUUUAUUUAUUUAUUUUUGGUUUCUGCUAACGAUUUAUUUCAUGAUUAAUAUCGAUUUAUUUUCACUUUCUAGUAUACCAUUGUUAUUAGUUGCGGUGUGGCAUAUAAUUUUUUUAGAUCAGUCUUACUUCAAUGGUGGCGUCUAAGUAUACCUUCUGCCAUAAUAUUUAAUAGCAAUUUCUAUGAUAAUCUCAGAAUUUCCAAGCUAGCUUUUGCACCCUUCACAUUUUGAUAAUACCUAGCUUUUAAGUUUUAUAAUAUUUUUUUAUUUUUGACAUCAAAUGAUCCUAAAGCAAAUAUAUAUAUAUAUAUAUAUAUAUAUAUAUAUAUAUAUAUAUAUAUAUAUAUAUAUAUAUAUAUAUUUUUUUUUUUUCAAAAUGGUUGUGAGCAUUUUAUCAAUCUGUUGGGGGUGAUGUUGGUGGGCUUGGGCUAGGAGCAUGUUAUUUUUACUCUUGGGCUAUUGGCGAGGCUUGAGACUGCUACCUUUUCUUUUCGUUCCCGCGCUGCCCCUCCCUCUCCAAAAAGUCGCUCAAAAUACAGAUUACGAAAUCACAGCUAUAGCUUGGAAUUGAAUGCAUGAGUUGAAACCGUCGGAGAACACCAGGCUAAGCUCCAAACACAUCGCCGCCGGCAUGCUCUCCAGCAGAAUUCAAAAUAGUUUUCUAAAUUUUACAUUCAAUUUGUCUACUCUAAUUUUUCUCCAAUAUCUCUUAUCAAAUGGGUUCUGCUUUUAGAUGGUAUGAGCGAGACUUUUGGCAUACAGAAGCUGGGAGUUCCUGUCCAAGUUAAGGGAUGCAAGCUGAUUCUUACAAACCGAUCAGAAAAGAUUUGUCUAUGGAUGAAGUUUCCUAUUUACUUUGCAACACCCUUAGCAUUGACGGGGGAGGAGUGAGAGGCAUCAUUCCUAGCCUAGUCCUUGCCGCUCUUGAAGCUAAGCUCUAGCUAGGUUCUUGAAUAAAAAACUUACGCAGCGUGGGCCACUUUUCUUGGCUUUUUGCUCAGAUGAUUUUUGGGUUUUUUUUAAAAAUAUUUUUCAUGUGUUUACAUUUUCUUGGCAACUUCUUCGAAGUUUCAACAUUGGGGUGGAUCCACACGUUAACUUUUCAUAUCUUAUAAUAUAAUAUGGAGAAGUGGUGGUUUUUUUAUAAAAAAAUAUUGAGACAUGGAGAAACAGACGACCAUACAAAUAAGAGCCGGGAGGCCGAAUGUAUUGGGGAAGCCACCUCUCUGUUUUAAAAAAAGCAUAAGCGUGUGCUACUCUUCUCGGUCAACAAUCACAACUUUUUUAUUUAUUUUGGCAGAUUAGAGUGUACGGACCAGAUUACGCGCACCACAAUUAAUUUCUGAAUCCACUAAAUACCUUGCACGUCCAGUAAAUAAGUAAGAUACACAAUUAAUUUCUGAAUCCACUAAAUACCUUGCACGUCCAGUAAAUAAGUAAGAUACUAGAAGGAUAAUAAAUAUACAUGCUGAGUCUCAAACCCAUGUUAUAGAAGCAAGAAAACUUUAUCUCUACUGCUUGCCAGAAGGCUGGUGCAACUAUUUUCUUUCUUAAACCUUACGCAGCAGGGGCCACUUUUCUUGGCUUUUUGCUCAGAUGAUUUUUGUGUUAUGGCUUUUAUUAUUAUUAUUAUUAUUAUUAUUAUUAUUUCAGAAAACUAUCCUGAACUGGAAAAUAAAAUGGAGUUGCUCGCCUCGCAACAUGUGAUACUCGUAGGGCUUAAGUGUAACCAGAUUCACUGAUCAAUAAAGAAAAUUAUCAUUGUAACAAUUUUUUUAAAAUAUUUGUUAUUAAAAAAUAUAUUAAAAUAAUAAAUUUUUUUAUUUUUUAAAUUUUUUUUAUAGCAACAGGACAGUAUAUAAAUAUAAAAUAAUCAAAUUUAAAUAAAUAAAAUAAAAUUUAACCAAUACCCAUUUAAAACGAAAUAGCAAACUGGGAUUAAGAAACACAGAAUUAAUCAAAUAGUAUUUUGGAUAAUGAUAAUUUUGUUGGGCCACAGAAUUAGGUCACUGAAGAACUUUUUAGUAAAGGAUUAAUUACUAUGCUCUUAUCCACACAAUCCUUCAUCACCAUCCAAUCCCAUCACUGGAGAACUUAUCCUCUUUGAUCUCAAUGCCCUUCUGCCAUCCCCAAAUAUAAGCUUUUAUCCCUUUUCCUUUGUAUUUUGUCGUUUGUGUCUUUGUCCACUGGCUCAAGGGUGUUUAGUAAUUCUAUAUACGGUUUUUUAAAAAAUAUUUUUUAAAUAAAAAUAUAUUAAUAUAAUAUUUUUAAAAUUUUUUUAAUACUAAAACAUUAAAAAUAUUUUUUAAUCUAUUACAUACAAGCAAGCUGAUACAUAAUUCCCACAUUAAAAAAAUAUAUUUAUUAAUAAAGUGUUUGGAGUUGUUUUUUAAAUUAUUUUUUAUUUAAAAAUACAUUAAAAUAAUUUUUUUUAUUUUUUUAAAAUUAUUUUUAAUAUCAUCAUAUCAAAAUAAUCUAAAUAAAUUAAAAAAUAAUAAUUUAAAAUUAAAAAAUAAUAAUUUAUUUUCAAAAAUACUUUUAAAAUAUAAAAAUAAAACACAAACCCUAACCUCGAACCCAACAUCAUUUCUUUCUGUACAUUUUGCGUGUGUUAAAGGACGCUCCUAAGGCCACGCUCAUAACAGGACGGUGGAUGAUUACGACCAGAACAAGGGUUUAGCAAGGAUCGGAAGAGGGACAGGAGGGUUUAGAGGACACGUGUCAAGUCUUACCAUAAAGGUUAGAAGGUGAUUCAUGAGAUUAAGCUCGUCCUUUGAACCAGCCGCCAUCUUUGACCCUCUCCUCUGGAAUAUUACUACGGACCACAAUAUGGAUCCUCUUUUUUUUUUUUUUUUUUCCUGUUUCGGAGUCUAUUCUGAACUCUUGUCAGUCUUGACACCUUUCGCUCUCUCCCUUUCCCACCACCUUAUUCAAUUAUUCAAUUCAACUGGGAAUCUGCUACGAGUUAGAUUUUAAGUCUAGAUUUUGACUUAUUAUAUGUUUUUUAAGUUGAUUUUUUUUUUCCAUUAAUAUCUUUCCUUACAGUAAAUAAAAAAACAUAUUUCAUUGUUCUUUUAGAAGAUAUUUGGAAUCAUUUGCUGGAUCUAUUUUCUGUUUUUAUUUUCAAAUUUUGAAAUGACUCCUCAGGAAACAAUUCCAACCAAUUAUUUGUCAUGGAAUUUGGAGGCUGUCUAAUUCCAAGUGGGCAUGCUGCAUUUCUUAGCCAGGUGGAGCAAGAAUUGAGGGAGCUUGUUUCUGGCUUUUGCUUCUCUGGGUAUGAUUUGUUGUGUUUUUGUUUUUUCUGCUAAUUUAUCUAAAUAUAAACUUUAGAAUCUUUUAAAUGAAACUAGCGUUCUUGAUUUCUAGGUGGUAGAUAUAACAAUAAUAUUAUUAAAAUAAAAAUAAAUAAAUAAAUAUGAUCAGACUUUUACCAUGUAGCAAAAGAGAAAACAUGACGUCUCUCUGUUUUUUUUAAGCAAUUUUGUUUUUAAUUUCAUUAUAAUAAUUUAUUUCAAUAAGCUUAGCAUGCUUAUUAUGAAGCUCUCACAUAAUAUUAUUAAAAUUGCAAAUUAACUUUUAAAAUUUUAUGAUUUUAUGAGUUAAUAUGUAUAUAAUAUGUCAAAUCAAGUUAAUAUGUAUUAAAUUAUAUAUUUUUUUAAUAUUUUUAAAUUAUUUUAAUGUAUUAAUAUCAAAAAUAAAUUUUUAAAAAAAUAUUAUUUAUAUAUAUUUUUAAAUAAAAAAUACUUUAAAAAUCAAUCUCAUUUCAAACGGCAGUGCCCUGUACCAAACUAUAUUAUCAACAAGAUUUUCCUCGUAUGAAUUAAACCAUUCUGCAUUUGACACAACUUGAAAAACAUGUUUCUUCUUAAAUUAUUAUUUCCACGUGUUUUUUAAAAUCUGAAUAUUUGAGAAAUGGUGGGGUUGAUUUUGUUAGCUUGAUAUGCUUUCGUCUUUGCUUUCCAUUUUUUUCUUUUUGGUUACUUUUGUAUGCUUUCCUCUGUUGCUAAUAUCCACCUCAGCAAGUAGCAUCUAGUUAUAAACACCUUGGGUAUAUUAGUAAAAUAGAAAAACAUUCAUUAUAAUAAAAAUUUUAUGGUUAAGUAAAAUCACUCUGAUCUAAUAUAUACACUCAAAAAAAUAAUAACUACCCAACACAUCUUAAAUCUUGUUUUUUUUACAUUUUAAAAAUACUUUUAAAAAAAUUCGAAUGUCAGAACUGGUUUAUCUUUAUAGUCAUAAUGUGUUAUUUAAAAAUAAAAAAUUUAAAAAUAUUAUUUUAAUAUAUUUUUAAAUAAAAAAAUUUACAGCAUGCAUAAAUAUACUAUUCUUUUUUGAAAAUCUCAUGUGUUUACAAUUUCUUGGCAGCUUCUUUGAAGUUUCAACAUUGGUGCGGGUCCACACGUUAACUUUUUAUAUCUUAUAAUAUAGUAUGUGUGUUUGGUAUGGAGAUGUGGGAAUUUGAGGUUAAUAAUUUAUUUUAAUUAAUUAUAAAGUUCUCAAGGUAAAAAAAACAAAAAAAGCUUCAACGAUUAAUUUAAGUUGGUAUUUGAUUUGAUAAAAUUUUAUUCAAUUUAAUUCAUUAAAAAUAAUUGAAACUUUGAACACCAAAUAUGAUACUGAAAUAAAAAAGCAGCCUGUUGUGUUUUUCAAAAUUCUGUUCCCUAGAGUUUUUGCAUUUUUCAUUUUAAUUUUAAUUCAAAAUUUUAUUUUAUUAAUUUUUUAAUUAUGAAUUUGAGAUAAAAAAAUCACUAAAAAACUCGGAAAAAAUGGAAAAUUAUUGGCCGACAAUUUUAGCAACAAAAAAACACGAUCAUCUUUGUAUUAAUAGAAAAUUAGUGUGCAGAUUGGAUAGCAAAUCAUACUUUAUAGGUCGAGGGCUAAAAAUAUAAAUUUGUAAAAGGGUGGUGGAAAAAAAAUAAUUUCCAUUGGUGUGGAAAAGUUCAGAUAUACUAUUAUAGAAUAAGAUAAUGUUUGAUGGUGUAAUAAUUAUUAUUUUUUAAAUUAUUUUUUAUUUAAAAAUAUAUUAAAAUAAUAUAUUUUUUUAUUUUUUAAAAUUUAUUUUUAAUAUUAAAAUGUCAUAGAUUAAGAGAGGCGUUUUAUUUUUUUUAAAAAUCAAAAUAAUAUUAUUUUAAUAAUUGUUUAUUAAAAAAUUAAAGAAUUAAAAGCUAGUCAACCGAGUUAAGAAAUCAACUUAGAUUCUUGAUUAAAUCAGCUGAUGACCCGUUAACUUUGGCAGGUAUAUAUUAAUUUAUUUUCUUGGCAGCUUUUUCGAAGUGUGAACAUUGGAGCGGGUCCACACGUUAACUUUCUAUAUCUUAUAAUGUAAUAUGUUUGGGUUGCUUCCUGGCAACUUCCUUCCUUCCUAUCAAACAAUACGAAAAUUAACUAUUAUUGAGGCGACCUUACUAAUAAAUAAUAGUAUUUGUAACAUUCGCUAGCGGCUGUAACAUUCGCUUCCACAUCUCCUCUCAUUAUACAAUUCCCUAUUUACCUUCCUUAUUAGGUAAUCCAGCUAGCACUUGAAGAACAUCUUGAAUCCAGGUAAAUUAAUUGUACUUCAUCUUGUCUGAAUCUUUAAAGUAAUCCAUGAUAAAUUAAUCGAUCUUUUUCUCAGAUUUUGUAAUCCAUGCCCUGUGGUGUUCAUACUGAUUAUAUUAACCCUAAACGUUGAAUUCAUUGUUUUUGUCUUUUCAAGAUUCUUUGCUGUUUUUAACUCCUUACAUAUGGGAUUUCUUUUCCAAUACUAGAUUUUGUAAUCCAUGCCCUGUGGGACUGCCAUUAAUUAUUUUUAUCCAAUAUUUUUCUGACAUAAUGAUUCAAUGAAGUUGUUUUUUACUGAUUCAUGAAUUAACUUGAUCAGUAUUAAUUACCUUUCAUUAAACUUGUUUACAACAAGUGACAAAUAAUUUAGCAUUAAAACAAAGAAUUAAAUAAUUAACAGCAACAUUUAUAUUUCCUAUUUUUCAUCCGAAUUUCUUUAACAACUAUAUAUAUAUAUAUAUAUAUAUAUAUAUAUAUAUUCUUAUCUAAUCUGUGCUUUCUGUUCUUUUUUAAACCUCAGAUGGAAGGAGUCCCACCGUCUUGUAAUGAGGAUGAUGUCAACUUGACAUCGAAUCAGUUCGAUUUUCAAUCACCAGAAGAUUCAUUCAAUAUUUCUGAGUUUCUCUUGUACGUCAUUCUUAAGCAUAUUUUAUCAGAAGAUGAUUACUUGCAAUUUAGUUAUUCUACGGUUUAUCCUAUAUAUUAUUCCAUGGAAGCAGGCCGGCAGACAACCAAGGCUCCAUAUCAUGCAAUGAUCAAGGUGGACAGACAACUGAUCAGUUUCCACCUUCAUUUCCUCAAACCAUGGUGAGUGCUCAUGCUACAACUGAUCAAGGUGGACAGACAACUCCACUUUGCUACAAUGUCCAUUGAAUUAGCAAGUGUUUGUAUCACCCAUUGGAUCAAAAAGUUUUUAUGUUUUCGUGUAUCAAUUUAUCUCGAGCAUCUUCAAAAUGUUUAUUGUUAAACAAACAGACAACAAUGGGAGAUUUAGAUGGAACAUCAUCGUCAUGGAUCAACCAAAAUGAACCAAAUUGGCCUCAAGCUCCAUCAAGGUACAUAAUAUUCAUCAUUAUUUAACUUCUUCUUCUUGUUCACACUAAAUGAAUUCAUUAUGUUUGAAUAUCAAAUGCUUAGUGGAUUAAUAGCAAAGAAUUAUGCAUAUGUAUAAAGAAAUCACUAACAAAUGUUGCUAAUUUAGGGACCAACAAUGGACUGAUUAUCAGUUACCAAUUAUGAGCAAUCAAGUGCCUGCGAUGAACCAAUGGUAUUAACCUCGAAUAUACACUUUUUUAAUCAUGAAAACAACAAACUUGACCAAAAUUGACGAGGAUCUUUCAAGUCUUUUUGAGCUCUCUAUCUCUUUUUUUUUUUUUUGCACAUAAUGGAACUAGAAAAUCAACCAAGUGAGCAUAACAGUUCUAAGUUUAACUAUUUGAAUAUUAUUCAGGCAUCAGAACUCCAAUAUUCCUCAACCUUAUCCGAGACAUGGCUAUAUAACACCGAACGCAACCACUUCACAACAUGGUGGCUUCAAUCAACCUGGACCUUCUUUUCCUGCUCCCCGGUAUCCAAUUUUUCAUGUUUAGUAUUUUCUUUUAAGAAAAAAGAAUUUAGUUUUUCAAUCAGGAAAGAAACAUCAUAGCUUGAACAUGAACCCACCAAGCUAAACAUAAGUUUGUAAUGCUUCAUAUUGUCUGCGAAUGAUUUUGGAUUCAGGAUUCAACAUUUUCCUAAUCAAGGACAAGUCGAUCAAGCUUUUGCAAUUCCUAAUAUAGACAAUAUGCAACAGGAGAACUUCGUGCCUCAAAACUUUGACAACUCUACUAGGUACUGAUCAAACUUUGGCAAUAUAUAUGCUGUCGUGUUUUAACACAGUAUUAAUACCUUUUUGAUAAUUAGAUACACCAUUGAUUUUUAGUGCUUAAGAGAGACUACCACUUAUCGAAAGGUUUAAUAAUAUCAUCACUUCAUUUAUAUAUAGGUCACAGAUGGAUAACCUCCAAGUCCGAGGAUUGCAAAAUCAAACUGCUACGCCAAAUGCCUCGAAUCCUGGCCUUGGCACUUCCCUGCAAAGUCAAAAUAGGGGUUUAAAUACUCAACAAGUAAGAAGUAUAACUGAAUUAUCAUCGUCUUUUUCCCUCCUAUGAUUGUGCAAUAAACUAACUAUCAAUUUUAAUAGCAAAAUAAGGGUAACAACACUGAAGAAGUAGUUUCUCAUCCAUCUGGAUAUGGUGUAACUUGCAUCAAUUUUUAUUCUUUAUUUUGACCUACCUUUUUUUUAUAUAGGUUGAAAUGGUUAGAUCAAAGGAUCCAUUUUGGAAUUAUAUUGAAGAUAGGACUGAUGGUAGCAUGAAGUGUACGUUUUGUCCACAUACAUUUGCCAAUAAAACCUCCAUUUCAAGGAUCAAAUGGCAUUUAUCAGGAGAGGAAGGGCAUAAUGUUGCCAUUUGUCUUGGGGUGCCUAAAGAAGUUCAAGAAGCAGCCUUUCUAGCUGCUUACAAAAGACAGAAAAUCACAGCAAGUUCAGCCAAUGUUAAUGAUUGUGGAAUUUCAACUUGUCCACAGGAACAAAACAUUGAGAUUAACAUGGUAGGAGUAGGGGAACAGAGGAUUUCUUCACAGCAAUAGCAGGAAACGACNNNNNNNNNNNNNNNNNNNNNNNNNNNNNNNNNNNNNNNNNNNNNNNNNNNNNNNNNNNNNNNNNNNNNNNNNNNNNNNNNNNNNNNNNNNNNNNNNNNNNNNNNNNNNNNNNNNNNNNNNNNNNNNNNNNNNNNNNNNNNNNNNNNNNNNNNNNNNNNNNNNNNNNNNNNNNNNNNNNNNNNNNNNNNNNNNNNNNNNNNNNNNNNNNNNNNNNNNNNNNNNNNNNNNNNNNNNNNNNNNNNNNNNNNNNNNNNNNNNNNNNNNNNNNNNNNNNNNNNNNNNNNNNNNNNNNNNNNNNNNNNNNNNNNNNNNNNNNNNNNNNNNNNNNNNNNNNNNNNNNNNNNNNNNNNNNNNNNNNNNNNNNNNNNNNNNNNNNNNNNNNNNNNNNNNNNNNNNNNNNNNNNNNNNNNNNNNNNNNNNNNNNNNNNNNNNNNNNNNNNNNNNNNNNNNNNNNNNNNNNNNNNNNNNNNNNNNNNNNNNNNNNNNNNNNNNNNNNNNNNNNNNNNNNNNNNNNNNNNNNNNNNNNNNNNNNNNNNNNNNNNNNNNNNNNNNNNNNNNNNNNNNNNNNNNNNNNNNNNNNNNNNNNNNNNNNNNNNNNNNNNNNNNNNNNNNNNNNNNNNNNNNNNNNNNNNNNNNNNNNNNNNNNNNNNNNNNNNNNNNNNNNNNNNNNNNNNNNNNNNNNNNNNNNNNNNNNNNNNNNNNNNNNNNNNNNNNNNNNNNNNNNNNNNNNNNNNNNNNNNNNNNNNNNNNNNNNNNNNNNNNNNNNNNNNNNNNNNNNNNNNNNNNNNNNNNNNNNNNNNNNNNNNNNNNNNNNNNNNNNNNNNNNNNNNNNNNNNNNNNNNNNNNNNNNNNNNNNNNNNNNNNNNNNNNNNNNNNNNNNNNNNNNNNNNNNNNNNNNNNNNNNNNNNNNNNNNNNNNNNNACCGCGUGCCAUUCACUACUACGAGUGGAAGAGUGUCCGUGGGCAGUUAAGACAACAAGACUAGAGGAGUCCACUACCUACUAGCUCUACAAAGCCAUUGGGUCAAGCAUUCGAAGAGAAUACGAAGGUGAUACGGUCUUUGUUAAUGGAUGGGGAAGUCUUAAGCAUGGGUAUUUAUGGGAUGGGGGGAGUUGGUAAAUCCACAAUACUU
RNAcentral lists this long non-coding RNA (80685 nucleotides) under Populus trichocarpa (black cottonwood). Its description in RNAcentral is "long non-coding RNA (PTRI_LNC004361)". The record is from RNAcentral. Lineage: Eukaryota; Viridiplantae; Streptophyta; Magnoliopsida; Malpighiales; Salicaceae.